UUGAUCAAAUAUUGUUUAAUUUUGGGAAUUCAAUAUUCAUGCAAUUUCAUAUUUAAUUCUCAUAUUAUUUUGUUAUUGAAAUCUACGUUGAUUUUUUAUUGCAAAAUAAUUAUUUGUUAGUUUAAAUAAUUUAAGUCCGUAUUUGCUUGGGUUAUUCUUACAUGAGAACACUUGGGAUAAAACCCAAGGAAAUUGCAUGAUCUAGCGUUAUCUCCAUACGUUUGGGUAGCUAGGAUUGGAUCUCUCUAUUUCUUAAUGCAAUUGACAAUUGUUUUGAUGCCUAAGGCCCAAGGACGUUCCUUGGCAAUUUGUUAAUUAGUAAUUAAUUAGAGGACGUUCCCUAAUUGGUUUAAUCAUAAGGAGAGAUAAUGGUGGUGAGAAGCGUCUUCCAUCUCCAUAACUAAUCUAUUGAAUCAACCCAAAAGAACAAAGUGUCUGUGAUCAAUCCCAACAACUAAAGUGGAUCCAAUACUUCAACUAGAGCUUUCUUAUUAUUUAUUUCUCUUUUAUUUUAAUUCGCUUAUUUUAAUUACUUUUAGUAGUUUAUUAAUCAAAUCAAUCUCAAACCCCCCCAUUUUACUUUUACUGCAAUUUAUUUUUAUUCCGCUUUCAGUUUAUCUCAUUUUUUGUUUAUCUCAUUGUUUCAGUUUAUUUUAUUGUUCUUAUUGAGAAAAAUAAAUAGGUAAUCAAUUCUCUGUGGAUUCGAUCCUUCACCACUAUCUGCAGUUGUAAAUUGUUGAUAACCAAGAAGGUUAUUUUUUACCAGCUUUGACACUCGCGAGUCAGUCAAGCACAAUAGGAAAAUCAUGUCCACUAGGAUAGGAUGUAGAGUCCUGUCUUGAAUGAUGAUGUGAAAUGCCAUGAUUAUAUGCAUGCGCAUUAAUGAUAUGCUAUGUAUGUGAUGUAUAUGAUGCGGGUUCAUGUGUUUGCACAUGAACCAUUUGAUGCUAAUGUUUAUGUGAUGUGUGCUGUUUUUCAGUAAACAAGAUGAGAGGAACUCGUCGAUCUGCACGAUUGACUGGAGUACCCCCGGAGGAUGAGGGCAUGAGUGCAUGAGUGCCCGUCCCCCUGCAUUUUCAAGGGCAAUGUCUAGCAGGUCUAGCAGGGAAAGAGCAGUGAGAGACCCUAGAAGGUCUUUGGAUAUGAAUAGAAGCAGAUCAGUAAGGGGAACAGUGCAAGGAGGAAUGUCAGAGGAUGUGGGGGAUGAUAUGGAUGUGGAUCAAAGGAGGGAUGGCAGUCUUGGAGUGAGUAUGUUGGAGGAGGGUAUGGGAGAGUCCCAAGGAGGCACUCAGGCCUCGGGAUUUGUUCAGCCACCCCAGUACCCACCCUUUUCUCAGAAUCAUGGGUAUUCGAUGGGAGGUACAUCGGAUUACCCCAGCUUUAGCCCUUACCACUCACACAUGCCAUACCCACCUUUCUACCCACCAUACCCACAGUACCCUAUGUACCCACCCCCGUCCUUCUACCCAGGUACAGCAAACCCUACCCCAGGGGAUGCUGCACCUCCUCCACCACCAGCAGCACCUACUGUCCCAGAAACCCAAAUGCCUAAACCUAGCUCAUCUGGAGGGAGCAAGGUCAAGAUGACCGACUACAUGAAGUUGGGUGCUCCCCAGUAUGAAACCGGUGAUGACCCGUUUGUGUAUCUUGAGAGGGUCAGAACGAUUACAGAUGAGAUAGGAGCUUAUGACAGUAGAGCCAUUCAGAUGGCCGGGUUCACAUUAAAAUGCAAGAAGGCCCGAGAGUGGUUCAAGAACUAUGUGAACCCGAGAUUGGACAGCCUAUCAUGGGAGGAGUUUGCAGGAUGGGCUUUCCCUGACAGUUCAAGAGAAUUGAAGAUGAUUGAAUUUAAGCAGUUAAGGCAGUUAGAUGAGAUGAGUGUGGAUGUGUAAUACCCGGCUAGACUCCGGUAUCAGAAUUCCGACAGUCCGGUGGAAUCCCGAGUGUCGGGGACCUCUAGAAGGGUAAAAUCAUGUUUUUAUAAAAUGUUUUAAUGUAUUUUAUGUUUUUAAUCAAGAAAGAAAAUGAGUUUUUGCAUGAAAAUGAUCUUGGAGGAAGACCCAGGUUCGGCCGCCGAACCUCAAGUUCGACCGCCGAACCUCAAGUUCGGCCGCCGAACAUGCAUGCGCUUCGGGAGUGCUUUAGGCUCCCGAAAGCAUAAGUGAGGGAAGUCCAGGUUCGGCCGCCGAACCUUAUGUUCGGCCGCCGAACAUGGCAUGCAUGCGGAGGCACGUUCGGCCCCCGAAUGUGGCCUGGCCAGCCACCUAUAAAAGGGUCCCUUAGCCGAAACGGGUGAGUUUUUCUCCCCAUUUUCGGCCAAGGUGAGCUCUCCGCCGUCCCUUACCGAUCUUGAGUUUCUUCCUUCCAUUCUUCAUGAUUUUUAUGAGUUUGUAACUUUGUUUUGAAGAUUUUCGAGUAUAAAGCAAGUUUUGGAGCUUUGAAGUUCAAGGAACUCAAUCUCUCCCGUCUCCGAGUUAGGGUCGUUUUCCUCUCGAUCUUCAAGAGGUAAGGGCCGAUCUUGAGCUCACUAUAUGUUUUAAACAAGUUUUAAGUUGUUUCAUGAAGUAGGAAUGCAUGUUUAGGUUAUUUUGAGUUUAUGGGUUUAAUGUUUUUUUUUUGAACAAUGUGGAUAUGUUGAUGUGUUGUAGAUGGGGUUUAGGAUAUUUUGAAGCCCCUAGGAGCUUAUGUAUGUGUUUAAGCAUGUUUUGUUGAGCUAUAUGCAUGAUUAAAGGUUUUGGGAGGCAAAUGUGCAUGUUGGAGCUGAGUUUCUGUCACUUUGGAGAAACUCAGGUUCGGCCGCCGAACCCGCUUGUGGAAGCAGCCUUCGGCUGCCGAAGCCUGCCCCCGAAAGAGGACUUUCAUCUCUGGAGGGCAGUUUCGGCCGCCGAAAGUGCCGCCGAACAUGCAUGAGUUUCGUCUCUGUCUAGGAGUUUCGACCGCCGAAGGUGCUGCCGAACCUGCCUGACUUUCGGCUCUGGAGGGACUUUCGGCCGCCGAACCUGCCGCCGAAAGUGCCCUGUUCAGCCUUCCUUUGUAUGAUUUGCAUGAUUGUUUUGAUGUAUUUUUAGGGGUUUUUGGGGAAUGUUUUAGAGUGUUGUUCUAGUUUGUUUGGUCCCUCAUUUGAGUCCACCUGUGUAGGUUCGGACCAGAGGAACCGAGGACCCCAGCAGUGAGUCAGCUGCUUCAGUCAUUGUCAGAGCUAGUCAGAGGUGAGUAGAAUUAAACUGAAUCUUUAUUUUAUGAAAUCAAACGCCUAAAGCAUGUUCAUGCAUCAUGAUGAUAUGUAGUAGGUUGAUUGCACUAGUUCCACGAAUAUGACGCAUUGCAUAAUAUGAUGACUAUGAUGAUGUGGAUGGACCAAGGCGACCCCAAUAGUCCUAGAGCUGUUGUAAAACUCGGCUGGGCCGGGCAUACAGAUGAUGUAAGACCUGGCCGGGCCAAGCAUCCAGAGGUUGUAAGACCUGGCUGGGCCAGGCAUACUGACUCUGGAGGAAUUUUUGAUGGUCAUGUCCAUCCUUGAUGUGAAAUGUUUGUGUUGUUCAGUCAAGCAAAGAUAGUGAGUUCAGAUUCGACAACAAGGGGAUCCUCCGCUAUGGGAGUCGUUUGUGUAUACCAGAUGACAUAGGGCUAAAGGGAGACAUUAUGAGAGAGGCUCAUAAUGCAAGGUACAACGUUCACCCUGGAGCCACCAAAAUGUACCAAGAUUUGAAGAAAGUUUAUUGGUGGCCAGCUAUGAAGAGAGAAGUGGCACAGUUUGUGUCAGCCUGCGAAGUGUGUUAGAGGGUGAAGCUGGAACAUCAGAAGCCGGCUGGAAUGCUUAACCCGCUACCUAUUCCAGAGUGGAAAUGGGAGAAUAUAGCUAUGGACUUCUUAGUGGGGUUACCGGCGACAUCCAACAGAUUGGACUCCAUAUGGGUGAUUGUGGACAGACUCACCAAAUCUGCUCACUUCAUCCCUGUCAGGAGUGGCUAUUCUAUGGACAAGUUGGCGCAGGUGUAUGUUGAUGACAUCGUCAGGCUGCAUGGGGUUCCCGUUUCAAUAGUGUCCGAUAGAGGACCCCAGUUCACCUCCAGAUUUUGGCGGAGUCGGCAGAAUGCCAUAGGUACCAGGUUGGAUUUCAGUACUGCCUUCCAUCCACAGACGGACGGACAAUCAGAAAGGACCAUCCAGACAAUAGAGGAUAUGCUUAGAAUGUGUGUGCUGGAUUUUGGCGGUUCUUGGAGGCAGCAUCUACCUUUGGUGGAGUUUGCCUACAAUAACAGCCAUCAUGCUAGCAUCGGGAUGGCUCCAUAUGAAGCUUUGUAUGGGAGUAAGUGCAGAUCACCUGUUUGCUGGGAAGAGGUUGGAGAAAAGGCCUUGGUAGGGCCUGAGCUUGUAGAGAUCACCAGCAAGGUGGUACCCAUAAUCAGAGAAAGAAUCAAGACUGCUGCAAGCAGGCAGAAGAGUUAUGCAGACAUCCGCAGAAGGCAAGUAGAGUUUUAGGAGGGGGAUCUGGUAUUGCUUAAGGUGUCUCCUCUGAAAGGAGUGGUUCGCUUUGGAAAGAAAGGUAAAUUAGCCCCACGAUACAUCGGACCCUUUGAAAUCUUGCAAAAGAUUGGGAAUGUGUCGUACAAGCUGGAUUUACCUGCUUCAAUGGAAAUAAUCCAUCCGGUUUUCCAUGUUUCAAUGUUAAGAAAGUUUGUGUCAGAUCCGGGCAAGGUUCUUAGUGAGCCUGAUGUGGAGAUCCAAGAAGAUCUCACCUAUGUUGAACAGCCAGUGCGGAUUCUUGACACCCAGAUCAAGAAGCUGAGAAACAAUGAAAUCCCAAUGGUGAAAGUCCUUUUGAACCACCACAAUAUGGAAGAAUGCACGUGGGAGACACGGGAGUCCAUGCUCCAGCAAUACCCUUAUCUUUUCUAAGGUUAGUUCUUGUGUGCUUUAUGAGUAUGAUAUGUUUUAUGCUUUUUAUGUGCUAGUUGAGGAACAUUCGAGGAUGAAUGUUCUUAAGGGGGGAAAAUGUAAUACCCGGCUAGACUCUGGUAUCGGAAUACCAACCGUCCGGUGGAAUCCCGAGUGUCGGGGACCUCUAGAAGGGUAAAAUCAUGUUUUUAUAAAAUAUUUUAAUGUAUUUUAUGUUUUUAAUCAAGAAAGAAAAUGAGUUUUUGCAUGAAAAUGAUCUUGGAGGAAGACCCAGAUUCGGCCGCCGAACCUCAAGUUCGGCCGCCGAACAUGCAUGCGCUUCGAGAGUGCUUUAGGCUCUCGAAAGCAUAAGUGAGGGAAGUCCAGGUUCGACCGCCUAACAUGGCAUGCAUGCGGAGGCACGUUCGGCCGCCGAAUGUGGCCUGGCCAGCCACCUAUAAAAGGGUCCCUUAGCCGAAACGGGUGAGCUUUUCUCUCCAUUUUUGGCCAAGGUGAGCUCUCCGCCGUCCCUCACCGAUCUUGAGUUUCUUCCUUCCAUUCUUCAUGAUUUUUAUGAGUUUGCAACUUUGUUUUGAAGAUUUUCGAGUAUAAAGCAAGUUUUGGAGUUUUGAAGUUCAAGGAACUCAAUCUCUCCCAUCUCUGAGCUAGGGUCGUUUUUCUCUCGAUCUUCAAGAGGUAAGGGCCGAUCUUGAGCUCACUAUAUGUUUUAAACAAGUUUUAAGUUGUUUCAUGAAGUAGGAAUGCAUGUUUAGGUUAUUUUGAGUUUAUGGGUUUAAUGUGUGUUUUUGAACAAUGUGGAUAUGUUGAUGUGUUGUAGAUGGGAUUUAGGAUAUUUUGAAGCCUCUAGGAGCUUAUGUAUGUGUUUAAGCAUGUUUUGUUGAGCUAUAUGCAUGAUUAAAGGUUUUGGGAGGCAAAUGUGCAUGUUGGAGCUGAGUUUCUGCCACUUUGGAGAAACUCAGGUUCGACCGCCGAAGGAACUUUCGGCCGCCGAACCCGCUUGUGGAAGCAGCCUUCGGCUGCCGAAGCCUGCCCUCGAAAGAGAACUUUCGUCUCUGGAGGGCAGUUUCGGCCGCCGAAAGUGCCGCCGAACAUGCAUGAGUUUCGUCUCUGUCUGGGAGUUUCGGCCGCCGAAGGUGCCGCCGAACCUGCCUGACUUUCGGCUCUGGAGGGACUUUCGGCCGCCGAACCUGCCACCGAAAGUGCCCUGUUCAGCCUUCCUUUGUAUGAUUUGCAUGAUUAUUUUGAGGUGUUUUUAGGGGUUUUUGGGGAAUGUUUUAGAGUCUUGUUGUAGUUUGUUUGGUCCCUCAUUUGAGUCCACCUGUGUAGGUUCGGACCAGAGGAACCGAGGACCCCAGUAGUGAGUCAGCUGCUUCAGUCAUUGUCAGAGCUAGUCAGAGGUGAGUAGAAUUAAACUAAAUCUUUAUUUUAUGAAAUCAAACGCCUAAAGCAUGUUCAUGCAUCAUGAUGAUAUGUAGUAGGUUGAUUGCACUAGUUCCACGAAUAUAACGCAUUGCAUAAUAUGAUGACUAUGAUGAUGUGGAUGGACCAAGGCGACCCCAAUAGUCCUAGAGUUGUUGUAAGACCCGGCCGGGCCGGGCAUACAGAUGAUGUAAGACCUGGCCGGGCCAGGCAUACGAAGGUUGUAAGACCUGGCCGGGCCAGGCAUACUGACUCUGGAGGAAUUUUUGGUGGUCAUGUCCAUCCUUGAUGUGAAAUGUUUGUGUCGUGUUGCAUUCCAUGAUAGCAUGUAUUUUAAAUGUUUUACUAUUCUGCUCACUGGGCUCUAGUAGCUCACCCCUUUCCCUAAUCCCCCAGGGUUGCAGGUACGGGCUAGACAGAGAAGUCAAGAUGGAUGAAGUUAUGUGUAUGAAAUAGCUAGAAUGUGGACAUGAUGAAUUGUAAAAUGAUGUAAAGUUAUGAAUAGUUAUGUUAUGUAAAAAUGAUAUUGAGGAUUAGAUGUUGUGCUUGACCCUAUGUGUAUGGUGAUCCCUUUUGUAUACAAGAUCUAUGUUUCAUGACGUUUAUGUUCCACCAAGCUUGUGUAUGAUGAGAUGCCCCAUUGGAGUAUUUUUUGAGAGCUCCAAUGUGGGGUUUAUGUUUAUGUUUAUGUUUAUGUAUAUGUAUAUGUUUAUGGGCAUGCACAGGUUGAGCUUGGUAAAAGAAAAGUUCAAAUUUUUAUGUAUGUUGUUGAUCAUGUAUGGGAUUAAUCAGGUUUACAGGAUGCAUGUCAGGCUUGCUACGGGUCCCGGCGGCCUUAUGCCGAUCUGGAUCCUAGCGCCGGUAGCGGGCCGAUUUUUCGGGUCGUUACAGAAUGGUAUCAGAGCCCUAGGUUCAUAUGGUCGGACCUAGAGUGUCGGGCUCAUAGAUGUUAUAGAAGGUCAAGCACAAUAGGAAAAUCAUGUCCACUAGGAUAGGAUAAAGAGUCCUGUCUUGAAUGCUGAUGUGAAAUGCCACGAUUAUAUGCAUGUGCAUUAAUGAUAUGUUAUGAUAUGUGAUGUAUGUGAUGCGGGUUCAUAUGUUUCCACAUGAACCAUAUGAUGCUAAUGUUUAUGUGCAAUGUGUGCUAUUUUUCAGAAAACAGGAUGAGAGGAACUCGUCGAUCUGCACGAUUGACUGGAGUACCACCUGAGGAUGAGGGCACGAGCACCCGUCCUCCAGCAUUGCCUAGGGCAAUGUCUAGUAGGUCCAGCAGAGAAAGAGCAGUAAGAGACCCUAGAAGGUCUUUGGAUCUGGGUAGAAGCAGAUCAGUGAGGGGAACAGUUCAGGGAGGAAUGUCAGAGAAUAUGGAGGAUGAGAUGGAUGUAGAACAGAGGAGGUAUGGCAGCCUGGGAGUUAGCAUGUCAGAAGAAGGAAUGGGAGAGUCCCAAAGAGGUACUCAGGCCUCGGGAUUUGUUCAGCCACCUUACUACCCACCCUUCUUACAAAACCCCGGGUAUUCGAUGGGAGGCACAUCGGAUUACCAUAGCUUUAACCCUUAUCCCACACAGAUGCCAUACUCACCUUACUAUCCACCAUACCCACAGUACCCAAUGUAUCCACCUCUACCCUACUAUCCAAAUCCAGCAAACCCUACUCCAGGGGAUGCUGCACCUCCUCCUCCACCAGCAGAAACCACAGUUCCAGAAACCCCAGUACCUAAGCCUAGCUCAUCUGGUGGGAGCAAGGUCAAGAUGACUGACUACAUGAAGUUGGGUGCUCCUCAAUAUGAAAAAGGGGAUGACCCGUUUGUGUAUCUUGAAAGGGUCAAGGUGAUCACAGAUGAGAUUGGGGCGGAUGACAGUAGAGCCAUUCAAAUGGCUGGGUUCACACUAUAAUGCAAGAAGGCCCGUGAGUGGUUUAAGAAUUAUGUGAACCCGAGGGUGGAUAGUAUGUCUUGGGAAGAGUUUGCAAACGAGUUUGCAGGAUGGGCUUUCCCUGAUAGCUCAAGGGAAUUGAAGAUGAUAGAGUUUGAACAGUUGAGGCAGACUGAUGAUAUGAGUGUGGAUGAGUUCACAGACAGAUUCUUGGAGCUAUUGCCAUUUGCAGGGCAAAAUCUUGACUCAGACCAGAAGAAGUCAAGGAGGUAUAUCAUGAAACUCCACUCCAGAUAUUCCUCCUUGAUCCAGUCAGCAGAUAGGGAGAGCUUCCAUGCCAUAGUGGAUAUGGCCCGGAAAAUGGAGGCUAGUGCCAUCAUUCAGGGGAUAGUUAAGCAGUUAGUGGCACAACCUUCUGGUUCUAAGACCCCAGGCUCUUCUUCUCUGAGUGCAGCAGCUUCAGGUAGCAAAAGGUGGGGUAAUCCCACUAAGAAGCCCAAGAAGAACAAGUUCUGGAACAAGAUCAAGUCCAGUCUGGGACUAGGAAGUGGCUCAAGCUCUGGUGCGGAUAAUGCAGUUUGUGCAAGGUGUGGUAAGCCACACAAGGGAGUUUGCCGGGCUGGGACAGCAGCCUGCUUCAGAUGCGGGCAAGAGGGACACAUAGCUCGGGAGUGUCCUAGGACAGUACCUAUGGCUCAGUCCCGGCAGACAGCUUCAGGUAGUGUAGCGCAGCCAGCAGCUCCAGCCAUGACUCAGGCCAGUGGCAGAGGCAGAGGCAGAGGGAGAGGGUCAACCUCUUCUUCAGCGGGUUUCAGAGGUGAAGGUCCAUCAGCUCCAGCACGGAUCUUCACGAUGACUCAGCAGGAGGCAGAUGCAUCUAACACCGUGGUGGCAGGUAACUUAGUCAUUGGUUGUUCAGAUGUGUUUGCCUUGAUGGACCCUGGUGCAUCUCAUUCUUUUAUUGCUCCGAGAGCCGUAGAGAGGUUGGGUCUGAUGAUCUCUGGGUUAGAGUGUCCUCUCUGGGUCAGUGGACCCAAGUGUGAUCCAUUAGUGGCAGAGUCAGUCUGCCAGUGCAGUCCAGUCUUUGUUGAGGGAAGAUGCCUUUCCGCCGACCUUGUGGUUCUAGACUUGAUAGAUUUUGACGUCAUUCUAGGGAUGGACUGGUUAUCUACCCAUGGUGCUACCUUGGACUGCAGGGACAAGGUAGUCAGGUUCAGAGGUCAAGAUGGGGCAGAGGUUGUCUUCAGGGGAGACAUGAGGGGUACACCUAGAGGUCUGAUAUCAGCUCUUCAGGCUCGUAGGUUGCUUAGAAAGGGGUGUCAGGGGUAUUUGGCUCAUGUGAGAGAGCUUAGCAGUCAGGUUAGAGAGCCCGCCUCGGUGCCAGUGGUCAGAGAGUUCUUAGAUGUCUUCCCAGACGAGCUGCCAGGUUUACCACCUGCUAGGGAGAUAGAGUUCGAGAUAGAAUUGAUGCCUGGAACUAGACCGAUCUCUAUCCCUCCCUACAGGAUGGCUCCAGCUGAGUUGAAGGAAUUGAAAGAGCAGUUACAAGAGCUGGUAGAAAAGGGCUUCAUCCGACCGAGUACCUCACCUUGGGGUGCUCCAGUCUUGUUUGUGAAAAAGAAGGAUGGAUCCCUUAGACUUUGUAUCGACUACAGGCAGUUGAACAAAGUCACUACCAAGAACAGGUACCCUUUGCCAAGGAUCGAUGAUCUAUUCAACCAGCUAGCAGGAGCGGGUUGUUUCUCCAAAAUAGAUCUGAGGUCCGGGUAUCAUCAGCUGAGGAUCAGAGAAGAAGAUGUGCCAAAGACGGCUUUCAGGACCAGAUAUGGGCAUUUUGAGUUCCUUGUAAUGCCGUUCGGGUUAACCAACGCCCCUGCAACAUUCAUGGAUCUCAUGAACAGAGUGUUUAGCCAGUACCUGGAUCACUUUGUUAUUGUCUUCAUAGAUGAUAUCUUAGUGUAUUCCAGGAAUGCAGAGGAGCAUGCCCAUCAUCUGAGGUUGGUUCUGCAGACCUUGAGGGAAUAUGGCUUGUAUGCCAAGUUCUUCAAGUGUGAGUUCUGGCUGAGGAGCAUUUCAUUCUUGGGGCAUGUGGUGUCGGAAAAUGGAAUAGAGAUGGACCCCAAGAAGGUAGAAGCUGUGGUUAACUGGCCUAGACCCACUUCAGAGACAGAGAAGAUGGGUAGAACUGCUAAGUGAUUAUGAUUGCAAGAUUCAGUACCAUCCGGGUAAGGCGAAUGUUGUGGCAGACGCUCUAAGCCAGAAAUCACUAGGCAGUCUAUCACACGUCACGGCGGAGAGGAGACCAGUGGUGAAGAAGUUUUACAAACUCAUUGAUGAAGGUCUACAGUUGGAAUUGUCUGGUACAGGUGCAUUGAUUGCUCAGAUGAGAGUGGCACCCGUGUUUCUGAAGCAGGUGGCUCAGAAACAGCAUGAGGACCCAUAGUUAGUGAAGAUUGCCAGGACUGCUCAGUCAGGCAAAGAUAGUGAGUUCAGAUUCGACAACAAGGGGAUCCUCUGCUAUGGGAGUCGUUUGUGUAUACCAGAUGACAUAGGGCUAAAGGGAGACAUUAUGAGAGAGGCUCAUAAUGCAAGGUACAACGUUCACCCUGGAGCCACCAAAAUGUACCAAGAUUUGAAGAAAGUUUAUUGGUGGCCAGCUAUGAAGAGAGAAGUGGCACAGUUUGUGUCAGCCUGCGAAGUGUAUCAGAAGGUGAAGCUGGAACAUCAGAAGCCGGCUGGAAUGCUUAACCCGCUACCUAUUCCAGAGUGGAAAUGGGAGAAUAUAGCUAUGGACUUCUUAGUGGGGUUACCGGCGACAUCCAACAGAUUGGACUCCAUAUGUGUGAUUGUGGACAGACUCACCAAAUCUGCUCACUUCAUCCCUGUCAGGAGUGGCUAUUCUAUGGACAAGUUGGCGCAGGUGUAUGUUGAUGAGAUCGUCAGGCUGCAUGGGGUUCCCGUUUCAAUAGUGUCCGAUAGAGGACCCCAGUUCACCUCCAGGUUUUGGCGGAGUCUGCAGAAUGCCAUGGGUACCAGGUUGGAUUUCAGUACUGCCUUCCAUCCACAGACGGACGGACAAUCAGAAAGGACCAUCCAAACAAUAAAGGAUAUGCUUAGAAUGUGUGUGCUGGAUUUUGGCGGUUCUUGGAGGUAGCAUCUACCUUUGGUGGAGUUUGCCUACAAUAACAGCCAUCAUGCUAGCAUCGGGAUGGCUCCAUAUGAAGCUUUGUAUGGGAGGAAGUGCAGAUCACCUGUUUGCUGGGAAGAGGUUGGAGAAAAGGCCUUGGUAGGGCCUGAGCUUGUAGAGAUCACCAGCAGGGUGGUACCCAUAAUCAGAGAAAGAAUCAAGACUGCUGCAAGCAGGCAGAAGAGUUAUGCAGACAUCCGCAGAAGACAAGUAGAGUUUCAGGAGGGGGAUCUGGUAUUGCUUAAGGUGUCUCCUCUAAAAGGAGUGGUUCGCUUUGGAAAGAAAGGUAAAUUAGCCCCACGAUACAUCGGACCCUUUGAAAUCUUGCAUAAGAUUGGGAAUAUGUCGUACAAGCUGGAUUUACCUGCUUCAAUGGAAAGAAUCCAUCCGGUUUUCCAUGUUUCAAUGUUAAGAAAGUUUGUGUCAGAUCCGGGCAAGGUUCUUAGUGAGCCUGAUGUGGAGAUCCAAGAAGAUCUCACCUAUGUUGAACAGCCAGUGCAGAUUCUUGACACCCAGAUCAGGAAACUGAGAAACAAGGAAAUCCCGAUGGUGAAAGUCCUUUUGAACCACCACAAUAUGGAAGAAUGCACGUGGGAGACACGGGAGUCCAUGCUCCAGCAAUACCCUUAUCUUUUCUAAGGUUAGUUCUUGUGUGCUUUAUGAGUAUGAUAUGUUUUAUGCUUUGUAUGUGCUAGGUGAGGAACAUUCGAGGACGAAUGUUCUUAAGGGGGGAGAAUGUAAUACCCGGCUAGACUCUGGUAUCGGAAUUCCGACCGUCCGGUGGAAUCCCGAGUGUCGGGGACCUCUAGAAGGGUAAAAUCAUGUUUUUAUAAAAUGUUUUAAUGUAUUUUAUGUUUUUAAUCAAGAAAGAAAAUGAGUUUUUGCAUGAAAAUGAUCUUGGAGGAAGACCCAGAUUCCGCCGCCGAACCUCAAGUUCGGCCGCCGAACCUCAAGUUCGGCCGCCGAACCUCAAGUUCGGCCGCCGAACAUGCAUGCGCUUCGGGAGUGCUUUAGGCUCCCGAAAGCAUAAGUGAGGGAAGUCCAGGUUCGGCCGCCUAACAUGGCAUGCAUGCGGAGGCACGUUCGGCCGCCGAAUGUGGCCUGGCCAGCCACCUAUAAAAGGGUCCCUUAGCCAAAACGGGUGAGCUUUUCUCCCCAUUUUCGGCCAAGGUGAGCUCUCCGCCGUCCCUCACCGAUCUUGAGUUUCUUCCUUCCAUUCUUCAUGAUUUUUAUGAGUUUGCAACUUUGUUUUGAAGAUUUUCGAGUAUAAAGCAAGUUUUGGAGUUUUGAAGUUCAAGGAACUCAAUCUCUCCCAUCUCUGAGCUAGGGUCAUUUUCCUCUCGAUCUUCAAGAGGUAAGGGCCGAUCUUGAGCUCACUAUAUGUUUUAAACAAGUUUUAAGUUGUUUCAUGAAGUAGGAAUGCAUGUUUAGGUUAUUUUGAGUUUAUGGGUUUAAUGUGUGUUUUUGAACAAUGAGGAUAUGUUGAUGUGUUGUAGAUGGGAUUUAGGAUAUUUUGAAGCCCCUAGGAGCUUAUGUAUGUGUUUAAGCAUGUUUUGUUGAGCUAUAUGCAUGAUUAAAGGUUUUGGGAGGCAAAUGUGCAUGUUGGAGCUGAGUUUCUGCCACUUUGGAGAAACUCAGGUUCAGCCGCCGAAGGAACUUUCGGCCGCCGAACCCGCUUGUGGAAGCAGCCUUUGGCUGCCGAAGCCUGCCACCGAAAGAGGACUUUUGUCUCUGGAGGGCAGUUUCGGCCACCGAAAGUGCCGCCGAACAUGCAUGAGUUUCGUCUCUGUCUGGGAGUUUCGGCCGCCAAAGGUGCCGCCGAACCUGCCUGACUUUCGGCUCUGGAGGGACUUUCUGCCGCCGAACCUGCCGCCGAAAGUGCCCUGUUCAGCCUUCCUUUGUAUGAUUUGCAUGAUUGUUUUGAGGUGUUUUUAGGGGUUUUUGGGGAAUGUUUUAGAGUCUUGUUGUAGUUUGUUUGGUCCCUCAUUUGAGUCCACCUGUGUAGGUUCGGACCAGAGGAACCGAGGACCCCAGCAGUGAGUCAGCUGCUUCAGUCAUUGUCAGAGCUAGUCAGAGGUGAGUAGAAUUAAACUAAAUCUUUAUUUUAUGAAAUCAAACGCCUAAAGCAUGUUCAUGCAUCAUGAUGAUAUGUAGUAGGUUGAUUGCACUAGUUCCACGAAUAUGACGCAUUGCAUAAUAUGAUGACUAUGAUGAUGUGGAUGGACCAAGGCGACCCCAAUAGUCCUAGAGCUGUUGUAAGACCCGGCCGGGCCAGGCAUACAGAUGAUGUAAGACCUGGCCGGGCCAGGCAUCCAGAGGUUGUAAGACCUGGCCGGGCCAGGCAUACGAAGGUUGUAAGACCUGGCCGGGCCAGGCAUACUGACUCUGGAGGAAUUUUUGGUGGUCAUGUCCAUCCUUGAUGUGAAAUGUUUGUGUUGUGUUGCAUUCCAUGAUAGCAUGUGUUUUAAAUGUUUUACUAUUCUGCUCACUGGGCUCUAGUAGCUCACCCCUUUCCCUAAUCCCCCAGGGUUGCAGGUACGGGCUAGACAGAGAAGUCAAGAUGGAUGAAGUUAUUUGUAUGAAAUAGCUAGAAUGUGGACAUGAUGAAUUGUAAAAUGAUGUAAAGUUAUGAAUAGUUAUGUUAUGUAAAAAUGAUAUUGAGGAUUAGAGGUUGUGCUUGACCCUAUGUGUAUGGUGAUCCCUUUUGUAUACAUGAUCUAUAUUUCAUGACGUUUAUGUUCCACCAAGCUUGUGUAUGAUGAGAUGCCCCAUUGGAGUAUUUGUUGAGAGCUCCAAUGUGGGGUUUAUGUUUAUGUUUAUGUUUAUGUUUAUGUUUAUGUAUAUGUAUAUGUUUAUGGGCAUGCACAGGUUGAGCUUGGUAAAAGAAAAGUUCAAAUUUUUAUGUAUAUUGUUGAUCAUGUAUGGGAUUAAUCAGGUUUACAGGAUGCAUGUCAGGCUUGCUACAGGUCCCGGCGGCCUUAUGCCGAUCUGGAUCCUAGCGCCGGUAGCGGGCCGAUUUUUCGGGUCGUUAUAGGAUGAGUAUACAGACAGAUUCUUAAAGCUGUUGCCGUUUGCUGGGCAGAAUCUGGAUACAGAUCAGAAGAAGUCAAGGAGGUAUAUCAUGAGGCUCCAUUCCAGGUAUUCCUCCUUGAUUCAGUCAGCAGAGAGGGAGAGUUUCCAUGCCAUUGUGGAUAUGGCUCGGAGGAUGGAGGCUAGUGCAAUCAUCGAAGGGAAAGUUAAGCAGUCAGUAGCACAGCCUUCUGGUUCCAAGACCCCAGGUGGGGGAAGGUUAGACCCUUUUUCUCUGAGUGCAGCAGCUUCAGGCAGUAAAAAGUGGGGUAAGGCCAAGUCUAAGAAGAACAAGUUCUGGAGCAAGAUCAAGUCAGGUCUGGGAUUGGGAAGUGGCUCGAGCUCAGGUGCAGAUAAUGCAGUAUGUAGGAAGUGUGGGAAGCCGCACAAGGGUGUAUGUCUGGUUGGGACGACAGCCUGCUUCAGAUGUGGGCAGGAGGGACACAUGGCUCGGGAGUGUCCUAGAGCAGCUUUUAUGGCACAGUCUCAGCAGACAGCCUCUGGUAGUGUGGCUCAACCAGUAGCUCCAGCCGCGACUCAGGCCAGUGGCAGAGGCAGAGGGAGAGGGGCAGCCUCUUCUUCAGCGGGUUUCAGGGGUGAAGGUCCAUCAGCUCCAGCACGGAUCUUCACCAUGACACAGCAGGAGGCAAAUGCAUCGAACACCGUGGUGGCAGGUAAUCUCAUCAUUGGUUGCUCAGAUGUUUAUGCCUUAAUGGACCCUGGUGCAUCUCAUUCUUUCAUUGCCCCGAGGGCCGUCGAGAGGUUGGGUUUGAUGGUCUUUGGGUUAGAGUGUCCCCUAUAGGUCAGUAGACCCAAGUGUGACCCGUCAGUGGCAGAGUCAGUCUGCCAGUGUAGUCCAGUCUUUGUGGAGGGAAGAUGCCUUUCUGCCGACCUUGUGGUUCUAGAUUUGACAGAUUUUGACGUCAUUCUAGGGAUGGAUUGGCUAUCUACCCAUGGUGCUACCUUGGACUGCAGAGACAAGGUAGUCAAGUUCAGAUGUCAGGAUGGGUCAGAGGUUGCCUUCAGAGGAGACAGGGAGAGUACACCUAGAGGUUUGAUAUCAGCCCUUCAGGCUCGUAGGCUACUCAAGAGGGGUUGUCAGGGUUUUCUGGCUCAUGUGAGAGAGCUGGAUAGUCAUGUCAGAGAGCCCGCCUCAGUGCCCGUGGUCAGUGAGUUCUUAGAUGUUUUCCCAGACGAGCUGCUAGGUUUACCACUUGCUAGGGAGAUAGAGUUCGAAAUUGAGUUGAUGCCUAGAACCAGACCGAUCUCUAUCCCUCCCUACAGGAUGGCACCAGCAGAAUUGAAGGAGCUUAAGGAGCAGUUGCAAGAAUUGGUAGAUAGAGGCUUCAUCCGACCGAGUACCUCACCUUGGGGUGCUCCAGUGCUAUUUGUGAAAAAGAAGCAUGGAUCUCUCAGACUUUGUAUCAACUACAGGCAGUUGAAUAAGGUCACUACCAAGAAUAAGUACCCGUUGACAAGGAUCGACGAUCUAUUUGACCAGCUAGCCGGAGCAGGUUGUUUCUCCAAGAUAGAUCUGAGAUCGAGGUAUCAUCAGCUGAGGAUAAGAGAAGAGGAUGUGCCGAAGACGGCAUUCAGAGCCAGAUAUGGGCACUAUGAGUUCCUUGUGAUGCCGUUCGGGUUAAUCAUUGCCCCUGCAGCAUUCAUGGAUCUCAUGAACAGAGUGUUUAGCCAAUACCUGGAUCACUUUGUUAUUGUCUUCAUAGAUGAUAUCUUAGUGUAUUUCAGGAAUGCAGAGGAGCAUGCCCAUCAUUUGAGGUUAGUUCUGCAAACCCUGAGGGAACACGGCUUGUAUGCCAAGUUCUCUAAGUGUGAGUUUUGGUUGAGGAGCAUUUCAUUCUUGGGGCACGUUGUGUCAAAAAAUGGAAUCGAGGUAGACCCCAAGAAAGUGGAAGCUGUAGCUAACUGGCCUAGACCCACUAUAGUGACAGAGAUUAAGAGCUUCUUGGGUUUGGCAGGUUACUACAGGAGGUUCGUUCAGGACUUCUCUAAGGUUGCAACUCCUAUGACCAGACAGACUAAGAAGAACCAGAGGUUUGUGUGGACCGACCAGUGUGAAGAGAGCUUUGAAGAGCUAAAGAAGAGGUUGACUUCAGCACCGGUAUUAGCUCUGUCAUCUAGUAAUGAAGACUUCUCAGUGUAUUAUGAUGCGUCCCGAGUGGGACUGGGUUGUGUGCUAAUGCAGAAUGAAAGGGUGAUUGCUUAUGCUUCUAGACAGCUGAAGAAGCACGAGUUGAAUUACCCUACACAUGACCUAGAAAUGGCAGCGGUGGUUUUUGCACUCAAGAUGUGGAGGCACUACCUUUAUGGGGUAAAAUGUGAGAUCUUCACAGAUCAUAAGAGUCUGCAGUACAUCUUGAGUCAGAGGGAAUUGAAUAUGAGGCAGAGAAGAUGGGUAGAACUGCUCAGUGACUACGAUUGCAAGAUUCAGUACCAUCCGGGUAAGGCGAAUGUUGUGGCAGACGCCUUAAGCCGGAAAUCACUUGGCAGUUUGUCCCAUAUUUCAGCAGAGAGAAGACCAGUGGUGAGGCAGUUCUUCGAGCUCAUUAAUAAAGGUUUACAGUUGGAGUUGUCUGGUACAGGUGCUUUGAUUGCCCAGAUGAGAGUAGCACCCGUGUUUCUAGAGCAGGUGGCUCAGAAACAACACGAGGACCCAAAGUUAGUGAAGAUUGCCAGGACUGUUCAGUCAGGCAAAAAUGAAGAGUUCAGAUUUGACAGCAAGGGGAUCCUCCGCUAUGGGAAUAGAUUGUGUGUACCAGAUGACGUGGGACUGAAGGGAGACAUUAUGAGAGAGGCUCAUAAUGCCAGAUACAGUGUUCACCUUGGAGCCACCAAAAUGUAUCAAGAUUUGAAGAGAGUGUAUUGGUGGCCAGCUAUGAAAAGAGAAGUGGCACAGUUUGUGUCAGCCUAUGAAAUAUGUCAAAGGGUGAAGCUGGAACAUCAGAAGCCGGCUGGAAUGCUUAACCCACUACCUAUUCUAGAGUGGAAAUGGGAGAAUAUAGCUAUGGACUUCGUGGUGGGGUUACCGGCAUCGUCCAACAGACUAGACUCCAUAUGGGUGAUUGUGGACAGACUGACCAAAUCUGCUCACUUUAUCCCUGUCAAGAGUGGCUAUUCCGUGGACAAGUUAGCGCAGGUGUAUGUAAAUGAGGUUGUCAGGCUGCAUGGGGUUCCUGUUUCAAUAGUGUCUGAUAGAGGACCCCAGUUCACCUCCAGGUUUUGGCGGAGUCUGCAGAAUGCCAUGGGUAUCAGGUUGGAUUUUAGCACUGCUUAUCAUCCACAGACGGACGGACAGUCAGAGAGGACCAUCCAGACAAUUGAGGAUAUGCUCAGAAUGUGUGUGCUGGAUUUUAGCGGUUCUUAGAGGCAGCAUCUACCCUUGGUGGAGUUUGCCUACAAUAACAGCCAUCAUGCUAGCAUAGGGAUGGCUCCAUAUGAAGCUUUGUAUGGAAGGAAGUGCAGGUCGCCUGUCUAUUGGGAAGAAGUAGGAGAAAGGGCCUUGGCAGGUCCUGAGCUAGUAGAGAUCCCCAGCAGAGUGGUGCCCAUAAUCAGAGAAAGGAUCAAGACUGCUGUAAGCAGGCAAAAGAGUUAUGCAGAUAUCCGCAGAAGGCAAGUAGAGUUUCAGGAGGAGGAUUUGGUAUUGCUCAGAGUGUCUCCAAUGAAAUGGGUGAUUCGGUUUGGGAAGAAAGGUAAACUAGCUCCGCGGUACAUCGGACCCUUUGAAAUCUUGCAAAAGAUGGGAAUGUAUCGUACAAGCUGGACUUGCCUGCUUCUAUGGAAAGAAUCCAUCCGGUUUUCCAUGUUUCCAUGUUAAGAAAGUUCGUGUCAGAUCCGGGCAAGGUUCUUAGUGAACAUGAUGUGGAGAUCCAAGAAGAUCUCACCUAUGUUGAGCAGCCAGAGCGGAUCAUAGACACCCAGAUUAGAAAGUUGAGAAACAAGGAAAUCCCGAUGGUGAAAGUCCUUUGGAAUCACCACAACAUUGAGGAGUGUACCUGGGAGACACGGGAGUCCAUGCUCCAGCAAUAUCCUCAUCUCUUUUAAAGUAAGUGUUAUGUGUUUUAUGUGAAUGUUUAUGUUUUAUGCCAUGCUAUGUUUGUUUGGUGAACAUUCGGGGAUGAAUGUUCUUAAGGAGGGAAGAAUGUAAUAUCCGGCUAGACUCCGGUAUCAGAAUUCCUGCCGUCCGGUGGAAUCUCGGAUGUCGGAAACCUCUAGAAGGGUAAAACCAUGUUUUCAUGAAAUGUUUUAAUGUAUUUUAUGAUUUUAAGUAAGAAAGGAAAUGAAUUUUUGCAUGAAAAUAACCUUGGAGAAAGAUUCAGGUUCGGUCGCCAAACCUCAAGUUCGGCCGCCGAACAUGCAUGCGCUUCGGGAGUGCUUUAGGCCCCCGAAGGCAUAAGUGAGGGAAGUCCAGGUUCGACCUCCGAACAUGGCAUGCAUGCGGAGGCACGUUAGGCCCCCGAAAGUGGCCUAGCCAGCCACCUAUAAAGGGGUCCCCAUGUCCGAACGGGCGAGCUUUUCUCCCCAUUUUCGGCCAAGGUGAGUCUCCGCCUCCCUCACGCCGAUCUUGAGUUCUUUCUUCAAAUCUUUCAUGAUUUUUAUGAGUUUUCACCCUUAUUUUGAAGAGAUUUGAAUAAAAGAGCAAGUUUUGGAACUUGGAGACCCAAGGAGCAAGAUCUCCCCCAUCUCCGAGUUAGAUCGUCUCUCCUCUCGAUCUUCAAGAGGUAAGAGUAGAUCCAUACUUCUUUUUAUGUUUUAAACGAGUUUUAUGAAGUUUGAUGGGGUAGAAAUGCAUGUUUAGGUUAUUGUUGAGUUUAUGGGUUUAUGUUAAGUUUAUAAGCAAUGUGGGUUGUUUGAUGUGUUUUGGUUGGGGUUUAAGUUAGUUUGAGACCCCUAUGUGCUUGAUGGCUUGAGUUUGCAUGUUGUAGAAUAGGUAAAUGCAUGUGUGAAUGGAUUGGGAGGUUUUAUGCAUGAAAGAGGCUGAGUUCUGCCCUUGGGAAGAACUCAGGUUCGGCAGCCGAAGGCUCUUUCGGCCGCCGAACCUGCCUGUGGAGGCUAGCCUUUGGCUGCCGAACCCUGCCCCCGAAAGUGGACUUUCGGCCGCCGAAGGUGCCGCCGAACAUGCAUGAGUUUCGUCUCUGGAGGGAACCUUCGGCCGCCGAAGGUGCAUGACUUUCGGCUCUGGAGGGACUUUCGACCGCCGAACCUGCCGCCAAAAGUGCCUUGUUCAGCCUUCUUUUGCAUGAUUUAUGUGAUUGUUUUAUGGUGUUUUAGGGGGUUUUUGGGGAGUAUUUUAGAGUCAUGUUCUUGUUUGUUUGGUCCCUCAUUUGAGUCCACCUGUGUAGGUUCGGACCCGAGGAACCGAGGACCUCAGCAGUGAGUCAGCUGCUUCAGAGUCUUGUCAGAGCUAGCCUAAGGUGAGUAGAAUAACUCUUCAUGUUUCAAAGUAAAUAAAUCAGUUCUUAGCAUGAUUCACGCAUCAUGAAUGCCAUGAGAUAUAUUAGGGUGCUUGCAUUAGAAUUCACGAGUAUGUUGCAUUACAUAAUAUGAUGAUGAUGUGGAUGGGUGUUGGAUUAUCCUUUAGUCCUCGUAUGAUAUGAUGUGAUAUGGUAUGGUAUGGAAGUCUAGGUCGAGGCCCAUUCUACGCCCCUGGCAAUAUGUUAAGAGAAAGACCAGGUCGAGGCCCAUUCUACGCUCCUGGCAUUAUAGGAAUGUUAUGUUAUGUAUGUUAUGCUAAGAGAAAGACCAGGUCGAGGCCCAUUCUACGCCCCUGGCACUAUUGGGUAUGGUGAGGACUAUUGGUGACAAAACCAUCCUUGAUGUGACUUGUCUAUGAUGUGAUGCAUUCCAUUAUAGCAUAUGAUUUAAAUGUUUUAUUAUUUUGCUCACUGGACUCUAGUAGCUCACCCCACUCCCUUAACCCCAGGUUGGCAGGUACGGGUUAGACCAGGAGGUCAAGAAGAGUAAAGUCAUGGUCAUGUAAUAGCUAGUGGUGGACAUGAUAAGUAUUGAAAUGUAAUUAAUAAUAUUAAUUAGUUAUGUAAUGUAAUGAUGUUAUUGAGGAUUAUAGUUGUGCUUGACCCUAGUUGGAUGUUAAUCCCUUUGUUUACAUGAUCUUUCAACUGUAAUGGUUUAAUGAUGUUUUAAGUAAGCCAAACUCACUAUAUGUUAUGUUACCCCAUUGGAGCUUUGUUGAGGACUCCAGUAUGGGGUUGAUGAUUAUGUAUAUGAAUAGUGCAUACACAGGUUGAGUUUAGUGAUUGAAUGAAAAGAAAAGUUCAAAAUUUUUAUGCAUGUGUUGAUCAUGUAUGGGAUUAAAUAGGUUUACAGGAUGAAUGUUUGGCUUGCUAUGGGUCCCGGCGGCCUUAAGCUGAUCUGGAUCCUAGCGCCGAUAGCUGUCCAGUUUCUGGGUCGUUACACUAAUCUAUUCUCAUGAACCUCCAAUUUUAUUGAACCACCAGAGUGUUUCGUAAUAGUCCCAUCUUUUUCUACGUUUCUAUUUGCUUUACUAGCUUCUAAUUUCUUUCUCCACUCUGGUGUACUCCAAUAUACAAUAAGUUCAUUCCAUAUCUCUGCCUCCAUCCAAUCUGGUCCUAAAUUGUAUAGAUAAGCAACAUCUGUCUUCUUGUGCUUACACAACAAUUCGCUCCUAACUCUAUUAAGAAUGUCUCGCAAUCUUUCUUUACCUACCUUUUCCUAAGCAAUUCGAAUCAUACCUUCGUCACUCUCAUCCCAUGCAUAUCGACUCUACAAAUAACAAUCAGUGUUAUGUAAAUUUAAAAAACUUAAAAUGCAUAUUAUAAAUUUUAGAAUAUAAGUUGUAUUUACCCAAAAAAGUCCGAAGAGCUCGUCUUUUGUCUUUAAAGGUAUUUCUGGCCAAGUUUUCCAUGGAGCAGUAUAGCGCAUCUUAAUGUCAUUAGUGAUUGAUCUAGUAACUGUGGAAUCUAAAAAACUGCAAUAUUUUUAUAUAUAAUGAGUAGUUGUAAGUAAUAAUAUAUAUUAAAUCAAUAGCAAAAAGUUGUAUAUGACUUACACAGUUCCUUUCAAUCUAAUCAAUUGUCGAUCAGACGGGUUUGAUGGGAUAGGAUGUCCCAAAUUCGGACCUCUAGUUCUAACUGAUGAUGAUGAGAAUGCGUUUGCUUGGCCCCCUAAUGCUUGUGGAGUGUGCUCCAGUAUUUCCUCCUGCACUUGUACUGCCUCAUCUAUUUCAUUCAUAAAGAGAUGCUGGCUAUGUCCUCUACCUCUAGAUGAUACUGCUCUUCGAGACAUCUGAAAAAAUAAUUGUCCAUAAGUAACAUGUCAAAGUAGAGUUGAAAGGAAGUCAUGUAAAGCAAACCCACAAAUAAUAUUUUAAUUCAUGUCUUUAAUUAACUAAUUACUUUUAAAUAUUAUUAUUUUUUAAAAAAAGUUAAAUUAAUAGAUUAGUUUGUUAAUCCAUUCAUUAAUAUACUAAUCAAAUCAAAUUAAUUUCUGAAAUUAAUUUUUUUAUUCUUUUUCUCUAAUUCCUUAAUCACAAGAGUCUUUGCUAAAUCCAAUAUUGCUUUAUUAGACAAAAAGGAAAAGAAAUGCAGUUUAAAUGAUGACACAAUUAGAUAAAAUAAAUUAUUAUUUGAUUUAUUAGCCCACAAUUUUCAUACAAUGAAAAUGCAUGAAUCCAUCAAAUUUGUUUGAUCUCUUUUCUCAAUUAAAAUUAUAUAUAUUUUAAAUCCACGUUAACUACAACAGCAGUAAGCAUGCUGCUGUGCGAUGCUGCUUUGCAGCAGCAUGCUUGCUGCUGCUGCUGUGCUUGCAGCUGCGCACAAUUAUAUUUUUUUGAAAUAUAAUUACUAAAAUUAAAGAUAUAUUUUGAUUAAUACAAAUUUAUAAUUAAAUGAAUAAUAUUUUCACUAUAUCAUAACAUAUUCAAAAACUAAAACUCAAAAUUUCAAUAAUAUAAUAGAAAAGAAACUAAAAAUCAAAGUAGACACUUACUUGAUAGGCAGUGGCGGCAGUGGCGAGCGGCAACGCUGUGGUGGCGAGAGGAGCGUCCAGCAGUGGCGAGCGUCCAGCAGCGGCGACAGUAACGGGAUCAGCGGCGCGGCGGCGGCGGCGAUUGCGGCAAGGAGAAAGAUGUGGCAUCGAGGAGAGGAGAGGAGAGGAGAGGAAGUGGGCGGCUAAAAUCAGAAGUGAGGAUGAAAGAGAUGAUUAGGGUUUUUUUUUAUAUAUUAUUUGCAUUUUCUGACGGAUUAGCGACAGAAAAAAUUUCGUCGCUAAUAUUUUUAUAAUCCGUCGCUAAUCUGUCGGAAAUCUGUCAGAAAUACCAAAAUAAAAUAUUCAUCGCUGAUUCGUCGCUAAUUCCAUCGCUAACUUUUUUUUCCGACGAAAAUAGCUUCUGUCGUUAAAUCCGUCGCUGAUAGUCCGUUUUUUUGUAGUGAAUACAUUCAUUGUUAAUUUGAUAGCCAUGACGCGUUGUGCUCGAUACUAACCAUGGUUUAUGAGAAUCGAGAAUGCAUAGGAUAUCAUUCGAGGUAUAUAGAAAAGUUGUUUUAAUUUCCAUUGCCAAUUGACUAUAAACAUGGGAAGUUACACACAUAAGAAUCAAUUUUGGCAUAAUUAAUUAAUUAAAUUAAAUUAAAUAUAUUUAAUUAAUUAUACUAAUUAAUGAAUUUAGUUAGCAAUGCAAGUUGCAAAUUUCCAGUAUGACCUGAAUUAAAUUGCAACCAUAACGAUUUAAAAUUAAUUUAAUGGAGAUAAUGAAUUCAUGUAAUGAAUUUUAUCCAUGUAGGACAUGGAUUUUAAAUAAGAAAAAUGAAUUCAUGUAAUGAAUUCUAUCCAUGUAAGAUAUGGAUCUUAAAUAAGAAAAAAUAAAUUCAUAUGAUGAAUUUUAUCCAUGUAGGACAUGGAUAUUAAAGAAAAAGAUUAAUUCAUUUGUUGAAUUAAAAAUCAUGUAGAAAGUAGGGUUGGAAGAAGGUAAAAAUAUUUUAUUGGGUUAUAUUUGAUAUGAACUUUGAUUUAAUGUGAUAUCGGCCUUAAAUAUAUUUUGAUAAAAUUAAGAUAUUAUAUUUUAUUCUAUUAAUGGGCCUUAGACCAAAUGUUAGUCUAGCCCAUAUUCAAUUAAUAUGAUUAAUUGAUAAAAGAAUAAGUAAUUAAAUUAUGGGGCAAACUCUCAUCUCAUGUGGGCUUGAGUUAUUUAAUAGUUAAAUCUCAUAUUGGACCCAAACCAAAUAUUAAUCAAGCCAAUAAUUCAUUAAUAAUGAUUAAUGAAUUUGGUUAAUUAAAUUAAAAUUAAUUUAAUUAACUAUAAUUAGAUUAAUGAAUACUAAAUUAAUUAAUAUGAAUAAGUGAUUAAUUAAAUUAAUAGAAAUUAAUUUAAUUAAUUAUAUUAAAGAAUUAAUACAUAUAUGUGAUACAUAAAAAAUUCAUUCUAGUCUAAAAUAAUAUUAAAUAUGGUUUAGAGGUUAUUUUGGUAGAGUUUAGAGGUUAAAGAAUUAAAUCCUUAACUACAACUCCGUUCACCCCAACUCCAUAUAAAGGAGAGAGUUGAAGGGGUAUGGAUAUGAGGAAGUCUCAUUCUCUUCCUCUCAUGUUCUACUUCCUCUUCUUCUUGUUCUUAGUAAGAGAAACUUAUAUUAUCUUCAUUAUUGUAAGAGUUAAAUAUUAACUCUCCAACUCAUUCCACCUAACCUUUGAAGAAAAUCUCAGUCUCUUAUUUUCAGCUUUUAAAGGAAAUUUAGACACGAAAAAUUUUGAUCGUGAGUAAUGGAUCGUACCGAGAUCAGUUCAUGUAGACGGAUCAAAGGGUUGACAUUUGGAGCCUACGAGCUCAUUUUUAGCCUACGAGCUCAUUUUUCUUUUGAUAGUUUGUAUUUUAUGGUUUGUAUUUUUUUAAGAGCCUAAGAGCUCUUUUUUUUUUUGUUUUUCUCGCCUUGGUAUGUCAAUGAUAUCAAUGUAAAAUAUUAAUGGAGAUUAAAAGACGAAAAGUGGGAGGAGGCUCAACUCAUUGAUAGAGUUGAGUGGGAGCACAACAAGAAGACUCAAGAUUUGUUGUAACGACCCGGAAAUCGGACCGCUACCGGCGCUAGGAUCCAGAUCGGCUUAAGGCCGCCGGGACCCGUAGCAAGCCUAACAUACAUCCUAUUACCUGGUAAAAUCCCAUACAUGAUCAAACAUAAACAUAAAAACCUUAAAAAAACUUUCAUACACCAAGCUUGAUUCGUAUGCUACAUAACUGUAAACAUAAAAACCCCCAUGCUAGAGCCCUCAUCAAAUGCUCUAGCUGAGUCAACAUUACAUACAUCAAGCCUGGUUCAUAUCUCAACAAUAAAAACAUAACAUACAUCAUGUACAAAAAGGGAUUAAUCAGACCUUAAAGCCAAGCACAAUACUAAACCAUAAACAUAACUCUACUUUACAUUUCAUUACAUUAUCUUACAAUGCAUUAUAUCAAUUUACAUUACAUGUCCACGCUAUUCUAUUACAUAAACAUAACAUUAACUUCUGAGACUUCCUAAUCUACCUCUGACCUGCAAACCUGGGGGUUAGGGGAAAGGGGUGAGCUAAAAAGCCCAGUAAGCAGAAUAGAGAAAACAAUAAUAAUAAAACAUGCUUUCAUGGAAUGCGUCACAGCACAAACAUUUCACAUAAUGGAUGGACAUGAUCUCCAAAACUCCCUCUGUCUAUGCCCGGCCCUCGAAGGAGCUCCUCAGGACUUCUGUAACAUAUUAUGGUGCCCGGCCCUCGGUGGGGCUCCUCAGGACUUCAUUAUGCCCGGCCCUCGAAGGGCUCCUCAGGACUUCAUUAACAUAUCAUAUCUAGGGCUAUUGGGGUCGCCUUGGUCCAUCCACAUCAACAGCAAAUUAUGCAAUGCAACAUCUUCGUGAAAUCUAAUGCAAGCAACCUAAUACAUAUACAUGGUAUUCAUGAUGCAUGAACAUGCUUAAAACAUUUGAGUUAGUUCUACUCACCUCUGGCAGAUGCUGGACUAACGCUGCAACAGCUAACACUGCUGGCCUCCUCGGUUCCUCGGGUCCGAUCCUAUACAGGUGGACUCAAAUGAGGGACCAAAUACACUCUAAUAGGACUCUAAACAACUCCCCAAAAACCCCCUAAAACAUCAUAGAAUAACCAUAAAAAUCAUGCAAAGGAAGGCUAGACAGGGCACUUUCGGCGGCAGGUUCGGCGGCCGAAAGUCCCUCCAGAGCCGAAACUCAGACACUUUCGACGGCACCUUCGGCGGCCGAAAGUUCUUCCAGAGACUAAACUCAUGCAUGUUCGGCGGUACCUUCGGUGGCCGAAACUCCCUUUCAGAGCCGAAAGUCCAACUUUCGGGGGUAGGGUUCGGCAGCCAAAACAAGCCACCACAGGCAGGUUCGGCGGCCGAAAGUCCCUUCGGCGGCCGAACUUGAGUUCUUCCAGAAAGGCAGAACUCAGCCUCCUCAUGCACAAAUAGCCUCCAAACCUUCCAAAACAACCCAAAACCUCACAUGCUCUCUCCCAAGCAUGCAUACACACUCCCACAUGCAUAAACUAGCCUAAACCUCCAACAUAAUAUCACAUAAACAUACAUUGAGCAUAAAACCCACAUCAACCUUAACAUGCACAUCUACUCUAUCCCAAGCAUCAAAACUUCUUAAAACUUCAUUAAACAUAAAGGAAAGCAAAGAUCCACACUUACCUCUUGAAGAUCAAGGGUUGGUGUGAUCCCUAACUCGGAGAUAGGAGAAAACAACUCCUUGGGUCUCCAAGCUCCCAAAAAUUGAUCUUAAGCUCAAAACUCUUCAAAACAAAGAUAAAACUCAUGAAAACUUGAGGGAUUUGAAGAGAAAGCAUGAAAACAACCAAAGGAGGACAUGAACUCACCCUAGCUCGAGAAUGGGGAGAAAACUCGCCCAUUUUCGAUCUGAGGGCCUUUUAUAGGUGGUCGGUCAACCACCUUCGGCGGCCUAAGCUGCUUCCACAACUUCGCCACCUUCGGCAGCCUAACGUGCCCCCUAAACUAUCCCAUGUUCGGCGGCUGAACUUGAGGUUCGGCGGCCGAAAGAAAGCCACUUUUGGAAGCCUAACGUGCCUCCUAAACAGCCCCAUGUUUGGCGGCCGAACCUGGAAAUGCUCUCCUUGGUCUUUUCUUUUCAAAACUCAAUUUCUUUUGCAUUAAAACCAUAAAAUCAUGUGAAAACAUUUUAGAAAACACAUUUUACCCUUCUAGAAGGCUCCAGCAUCUUUGAAUUCCAGAUUCCGACUGAGAUUCCACCGAAAAGUCAGGAUUCCGAUGCCAGGAUCUAGCCGGGUAUUACAUUUGUAAUGUACAAAUAGUUUAGGUUGUAAAUGUUGUGCUAGAUGGAUGCAAACCUAGGAAUGACCUUUUAACACAAAUACUUAUGGCUCGAAGUGGGCAUCCCUUAGCAUAGUCCAUGAUCACAUCUUUUAUUUUUAUUAGCCGAAUUUAUGAAUGUUUAUACAUAUAUGAUGUGUAUGUUCAUAUGCAUGAAUGAAUGUAUAUAGUUGAUAUGCAUAGUUUAAAUCGGCUAAUGUGCAAAGUGAGACCUUAAUAGUAAUUAGGCCGAUCAAGAAAAUCUUCCAACUAAAUGAUUGAAUCUAUGGCUCUCCACUAAGACAAUUGAUUAAGAGGCUUAGGUAUUUAUGUUGUUGGCUAUGGUUACAUGGGGUGACAUAAUUGACUUAGUGUCCUCUUAAGAUAAUGGUUAAGCAUAUACUGUUGUGGGUAUGUAAGGGGCUUAAUGGGCAAUAUUGGAUGUAACUGAGUUCAUUAAGUAACUUGACACAUUCGGUGGCUCAGUGUGCUUGAUUCAACUGAUACAAGCAGGCCAAUAAUGGAUGUACCUGAGGUCUUGAGCAUUGGGAGCUAAGUUUAUUGAUUGAGUCUUGCAUAAGAUAAGGAAUCAGUCAAGACAAAAUUCAUUAUCCCAAGUAAAUAGGCGGUGUCCUAUAACCGAGUUAAUUAUUCUUAAUAACAAGUUCUUAGCUAAGGCAGUAUGACUUAAUUAGAAAAGGUUUCUAAUGUAAGUCUUGUUAAUCAACAAUUAGAAUUAAGCAAUGGUCAUAUGGUCCAAAGUAUUGGGAUUUGACAUUUACCGUGACCCUAGUUUAGACUGGGAUCUCUAAUGAAAAGAUUCUAGUGCAUAAUAAUUUAUGAUGAUAGUUCAGAUUAAAUGGAAUAAUACAUGCAUUGUUAAUUGAGUAGCAAUGGCGGAUUAUGCUAGACACUAACCAUGAUUUAUGGGAAUCGAAAAUACAUAGAAUGUCAUUCGAGGUAUAUAGAAAGGUCGUUUCUAUUUUUAUUGCCAAUUGACUAUGAACCUGGAAAGUCACACACAUAAGGAUCAAUUUUGAUAUGAUUAAUUAAUUAAUUAAAUGUGUUUAAUUAAUUGUAUUAAUUAAUUGAAUUUAGUUAACAAUACAAGUUGCAAGUUUCUAGUAUGACUUGAAUUAAAUUCAAUCUUAAUAAGUUAAAAUUAAUUUAAUGGAGAUAAUGAAUUCAUGUAAUGAAUUCUAUCUAUGUAGGAUAUGGAUUUUAAAUAAGAAAAAUGAAUUCAUGUGAUGAAUUCUAUUUAUAUAAGAGAUGGAUCUUAAAUAAGAAAAAAAUAAAUUCAUGUAAUAAAUUUUAUCCAGUAGGACAUGGAUAUUAAAGAAGAAAAUUAAUUCAUUUGAUGAAUUAAAAACAUAUAGGACCUGAGCUUGGAAGAAAGUAAAAAUGUUUCAUUGGGCCAUAUUUGAUAUGGACUUUAAUUUAUUGUUAUAUGAGCCUUAAAUAUAUUUUGAUGAAAUUAAGACAUUAAUCUUAUUCUCUUAAGGGGUGUAAGACCAAAUGUUGGUCUAGCCCAUAUUCAAUUAAUAUAAUUAAUUAAAUUAAUAUGAUUAAUUUAAUUAAUUUAGAUUUAAUAAUAAACAUGUGCAUGACACAUGUAAAAUUAUUCUUAAGACCACAUAUUAAUAUAUGGAACAAACUCUCAUUUCAUGUGGAUUUGAGUUAUUUAAUAGUUAAAUCUGAUAUUAGACCUAAGGUCAAAUGUUGUCUAAGUCUAAUAAUUCAUUAAUAGUGAUUAAUGAAUUUGAUUAUAAAUUAAUGUAAAUUAAUUUAAUUAAUUAUAAUUAUGAGAUUGAUUAAUUAAAUUAAUUGUUAAUUAAAUUAAUGAAAAUUAAUUUAACUAAUUAUGAUUAAGUGAUUAAUUGAUUAAUUAAAUUAAUGAAGAUUAAUUUAAUUAAUUAAAUUAGAGAAUUAAUACAUAUAUGUGAUGCAUAAAAAAUUCACUCUAACCUAAAAUAAUAUCACAUGGUUUAGAAGUUAUUUAAAGAGAGUUUAGGGGUUAGAGAAUUAAAUUCCUAACCACUACCCCAUCCCUUCCAACUCUAUAUAAAGGAGAGAGGUGAGGGGAUGGAUAUGAAGAAGCCUCAUUCUUUUCCCUUAGUCAAAUUUGAGAGCUCCUCUCAUGUUCUUCUUCCUUUUCUUCUUAUUCUUAGUGAGAGAAACUUAUAUUAUCUCCAUUGUUAAGAGAGUUAAAUGUUAACUCUCCAACUCAUCCUACCUAGCCUGUGAGGAAAACUUUGAUCUUCUGUUUUCGGCUUUUAAGAAAAAUUUAGAGAUAAAAGAUUUCGAUCGUGGGUGAUGGAUCAUGCCGAGAUUGGCUUGUAUCGAAGGAUCAAAGGGUUGACUUUUGGAGGUCUAAAUUCCACCAAAUAAAUAUGUUGCACUACAAGAGUUAGGAUUCUAAAUUUUCUUUAGAAUAGUUAAUCUCUUAUUUUCUCUAUAUUGGCUAAUGGGUUGAUUUCCUUUGAUACAAAUGUUGUGCGAUAAUUUUUAUGUUGAUACUUGAAUUAAUUAAGUAAAAAUUAGAGCAUUGAGUAUGAAAUUAUAGUAAUUAAGAAAAAUUUUAAAAUUGUAUAAUUUUGCUUAAAUCUAUUUUUGCUUCCACUGUGUGUGUUGGACAAGGUCAUAGAAAGCUUUCAUUAUAUUGGUCUUUUUUGCAAUUGUUAAAGCUCAAGAUGUGAUUUGCUUAAAGGUUUGUGGAUUGCAUCAUGUUGUGUGUUACCACCGUCAAAUACAAUACAUCCCUUAAUGGGUUGGAUUUUGGACCUCUUACACCCUAUCGCAUUCUAAGGUAGGGAGAUCCUUUGUCCCCUUAUUUAUUUUUUGUGCGGAGGGGCUUUCAACUUUAUUUAGGAAAUCAGAACUCAGUGGGGAUGUGCAUGGUGCAAAAAUAUGUACACAAGCCUCGAGUAUUUCUCAUUUACUGUUAUGUCGGGCUGUAAAGGCUAUUCUCCAAACUUAUGAGGGUGCUUCAGAUCAAGCAAUCAACGUUCAAAAAUCUGGUAUUUUCUUCAGUUCUAAUGUAACAUCCUUUGAGCCCACACCAGUGAAUAUUGUUCACUUCGGGUCAAGGGAUUGACACCCUUUCUUCUCUCACGGUUUUAUUUCCGGGUUAAGGGAUUGGUUACCUUUUCUUCCCAAAACGCGUCCACUGGGGUAUCCAGGGCAUGCCCUUAUAAGGCCUUGCCCCUUCUAACCUCUUUCCGAUGUGGGAUACCUUUGAUCCACCUACAUAGGGUUCCUUCUCCCCAUACAGGCCUGAGCGUCCUUGCUCAGCACACCGUACUCAUGAGGCCCAGGCUCUAAUACCAAUUGUAACAUCCUCUGGGCCCACACUAGUGAAUAUUGUCCGCUUCGGGUCAAUGCAUCACGAUUGCCAUGUUUAUAUAUUAGGAUGUUUGCAUUAGAAUUCACGAAUAUGAUGCAUUGCAUAAUUUACUGUUGAUGUGGAUGGAUAUUGGAUGACCCAUUAGCCCUCGAGAUGAUAUGAUAUGAUACGAUACAGAAGUCCAGGUGAGGCCCAUUCUAUGCCCCUGGCAUUUUGGAUAUGUUAUGUUGUGUUUAAGCGAAAAUCCUGAGGAGGUUCGUCGGGGGCCGGGCACAUUGGAAUAUAUAGAGGGUUACUAGUAACAAGUCCAUCUUGAUGUAAUGUUAUUAAACUGUUUUUCUGUUCUGUUCACUAGGCUCUUGUAGCUUAUCCCUCUCCCCUAACCCUAGGUUUGCAGGGUCAAAGAUAGCUCGGGAAGUCGGCAUAGUAGCUGGUAUAGUUUGAUGUAAUAGAAUAGUUGUGGACAUUUAUUGUAUAAUGGAUUAGAAUUGUGUUUUGCCCUAGUUUUUAUCUUUGUAAUCCCUGUUAACAUGAUCCUUAUGUAAAAGUUUUAAAUUAUGAGUUAUGUUGAACCAAGCUUGAGGCAUGUGAUGUUAACCAUGCUAGAGCAUUUGAUAAGGGCUCUAGUAUGGGUUUUAUAUUUUCAGUAUGAUUCAUGUACAGGUUGAGCUUGGUUUCAUGGAAAUGUUUAAGUUUUUAUUGUAAUGUAAGAUCAUGUAUGGGAUUUUAUCAGGUACCCAUGAUGUAUAGUAGGCUUGCUACGGGUUCCGACGACCUUAAGUCGAUCUGAAUCCUAGCACCGGUAGUGGUCCGAUUUCCGUAUUGUUACAUCUAAUGUGAAAAGUGAUGCAAGGAUUGUGGCUUAUAGGGAGCUAGGAGUCAAUUCUCCACUCAACCAUGAUAGGUAUCUUGGCUUCCCUUCUUUAAUAGAUCAUAAUAAGGAACAAGACUUUUCUUAUCUAAAAGAAAGAUUAUGCAGGCGAAUAAAUAGUUGGCAUGGUAGAUUUCUUUCCAGUGCAAGUAAGGAAAUUCUAUUGAAAUCAAUAGCACAUACCAUACCAUCUUAUUGCAUCUGUAUUUGCUGUCCCUAUCACUCUUUGUGAAGAGCUUCAGUGAAUGAUGAAUUCUUUCUGGUAAGGUUCUAAAGAUAACGGACAUAAGUGGAUACAUUGGCUAUCUUAGAAUAAAAUAUACUUGGCGAAAGAAUAUGGUGGAAUGAGUUUUCAAAUUCUUUAUUAAUAUUUUAGUAUGGCAAUGCUUAGUCGGUAAGGAUGGAGAAUUUUUCUGACCCUGAUGCUUUUCUUUGUAGAAUUUUCAAAGUUAAAUACUUUCCGCAUAUGAACUUUUUGCAGGCAGAAGAAGGAUAUACUCCUAGUUUUAUUUGGAAAAGCUUAUUGCAGACUUAAUCAUUACCGAUUAAAGGUUUAAGUUAUAGGGUUGUGAAUGGAAAGAGUGUGAAAAUUUGGGAUCACCCAUAGCUUAUCAAUGAUAGGAAUUUUUUUCCUAAGACCCCAUAGUUGAUGGUCUAGAGGAUUUUACGGUAUUAGGUUUAAUUAACUUGGAUGGAUGAACUUGAAAUUUCAACUUUCUAUCAGAGCUUUUUCUCCCUAAUGAUGUGCACUAUAUACUACAAAAGUGUACCUAAUAGUGAUAACAAAUUAAUUUGGCACUUUACUAACUCUGAGUUAGGGUAUCAUGUUGUUGCUCACAAUGACAAUACUAUCAAUAGUUAUGCUAUCCCAAGUAAGUGGAAGCAGAUCUAGAAGCCCCAUGUCCCUCCAAAAUUCAAGAAUUUUAUGUAGAGUUUUAAGAGGUAUCUUACCAGCAAAGUUAACCUAAAGUUUAAAUCAAUAAACAUCGAUUCUUGUUGCCUGUAUUGUCCAAAAUUUGAAACUAUUGAUCAUGUAUUUCUACUUUGCCUGUAUGCCAAACAACGUUGGUAGAUUUUAGGAUUGAAUCUUGAGUCACUUGAAGCUACCAAUUUAGCAAACUUUGACUCAAGAGGAUAAAGAGAAUAUGUGUGCUGUGGCUUGGAGUAUCUGGACCGCUUCUUUAGGACAAUACACCUUCUACUGCAGAAGAAGUUGUAUCUUCAGGUCUUAGGGUUUUAAAGGAAUGAAAGGAGGUUCAGCCUAUUACAUCUGUAAAUUUAUAAUUAUUUUGAGAAAUAAAGUAAUUUUCGUAUAUUAAAAAUAACACAGCAAUAUCUAUAAAAAUUACAUUAAUUUUAAAUAAAAAGAAUUUAAUUGAUUGCACUAUAAACUAAUUAGAAAGUGUAACUAAAAUAAAAAAGGAUUAUUUAAAUUAAAAAAAUUAAGAGAAAAUUUUGAAUAAAAAUAAUUUAAUAAUAACAAUUGAUAAAGUCAAGCAAAUUAAAUAAAAAAUAAAAUAUCAUUUUUUAAAACAUAUAUUAUUACCGUGAAUUACGCUAGUUAAAAAUAAAUAAAUAAAUUUUAAACUUGUAAGUACAUCACAAGGAAACUUGUUUCCUGUAAUUCACAUUUGUUUCUUGGCAAUCGGGAGACGCUGUAAAUCCUUCGAUUCCUGGUCUCCUCGAUCAAUUCAUGAACCUGCAUUGUACGGAUCCUAUCGGCAUUUCAAAUUCUGGAUUUUCUUUUUUGAUUUUGUUUCCUUGAAAUUUCCUGGAUUUGAAUUUCGGGUUCUGGAACCUGCAAUUCCUUGGCAAUGGAUGUAAACGAGAAUGUGAAUCAAUAUGUAGGGAUUUGAAUCCUCUGCAUUUGUUUGGAUCAAAUCUGGGAAAUGCAAAUGGAUUUACUUUUCGCACGGAUCGGAUCGAGAAAUCUUUCACAUAAGUGUUAGCUGGUUUUUUUGACCUGCAUUUAGUCAAAGGGAAUCAGAUUUUGUUUAGGAUUUGAGAAAUUUAGUGUUGCAGUUGGAUACUUUAAUACAUAGAUGGAUCCGAUAUCGGCAGUUAGCGAAGAGCUUGGGCAGAUCGACGGGCAGAUAGCUGAUAUUUUUCGAGUCUUAUCGUAAGGAUGUUUCGAAUUUCCUGCUACUUAGAUCAUUGAUGCAUUUUUUAUUUUGGUCAGUUUUUUAUUGUUUUUGUUGCAUUACUCAUUUUCCGUUGAUGGUAUGGCACUUUAAGCUGUAGAACAAAUUAAGUGGAUUUGUUAAUUUAUCUUCAUCGAACCGCAUCUUUUUUGUGCAAGCUUAUGUAAGUAAGCCUUGAUAAAUAUAAUACUGCUGAUUUUGUCUUUUGGAAAUUGGAACAUAAUAAGAUGUUGAAUAACGCAUUUGAAGCUGGAGAAUCAUCAAAUUUGGCACUUAAUAAUUUGCUAGUUAUUGGUGCUUGUGAUUGUGAAGUGUAACUUGUGUUAUGCUUGCAGAAAUGGGUUUCAGAAAUUGGAGAAGAUCAAGGAUGUUAAUAGGCAGAGUAGGCAGUUGGAAGAGCUUACUGAGAAGAUGCGGGAGUGUAAAAGGUUUGGCGAUACUGCCUUGUCUAUCCUUAGCUUGCUGUCCACGGUUCAACUUUGAAUGCAUGCAUAUACAGUUGCCUAAUAGCAUAGUGCCCUAGUAAGAUAAUGUUUGUGAUUUAAUUUGAAUCACUGGCAAUUGUUUUGCUGACUUGAAUGUCUUAGUUAUGUGCUUAGCAUUAUUGAUAAAGCAUUCUAGACAAAGAGUGACAAAAUUAACAAAAAAAGGUUCUUGUAAACCUUUUUUGAUCAAAACUUUUAGAAACUUUUAGAACGCAGGGAAGUUUGACCCAAGUGUUUGCUUGCAAAGUAAUUAUGGGAGGCCCAGUCCAAGAAUAAUGUUUAUCUCCAUCCCCUGUAGGACUGGGAUGCUCGUGAUCUAUACCAAAAUAAUUACUUGACGAGAAGUUUCAAUGCAUUGGUAAUUUGGCAAAUGAACCUUUGACAGUUACCAAUUAUCUUGACCAGAGAUUUCAUAAAUCAUAGCUCCAGAAGUGAUGAAUAUGAUCUAUUCCUUCAAUGGCAUGAGAUAAACAUUGUAUUUAAUUUUUUUCUUUUUUUUAAUGAAUUCCUUCAGGAUUGUGCUUAUCACACGCCAAGGAAUUUAAGCAAAUCUUGCCUUGUAACAUACAAGGAAUUUAAACAAAUUCCUAGCAUUACCUUAGUUGGAGAUUGCUUCAAAUUUCCAACAUAAAGAGCUUCUUUAAUGAGAGCUCUUGCAAGUGUAUACAUGUGCUUCAGUCCUUGUUCCUUGCCCAUCAUGGGUGGACCUAGGCUCAGCCCGUAUUCCUUCAUUUAGGUUGCAUGAUCAGAUUGUGAUAGAGAAUAAGGAACACAAAAAUAGGAAUUGACUGAACAGAGAAAGGGAUUUGGUAUUUCGGUAAACCAUAGACUACAAUCUCCGUUAAUAUAAUGACAGUAGUAUAUAAGGAACACAAAUAUAGAAAUUGAUUGAACAGAGAAAUUGAUUGAAUAGAGAAAGGGAUUUGGCAUUUGAACCAAGUACAAAUCAAUUUGUUAACAAUAGUAUAUAAUAUUCUUUCAUAGUCCUCCUUAUUUCAUAUCUUGGGGUUCACUUAUGAUAUUAUGAGGCCAUAAUAGACCUUAAGAACUUGGUGCAUGCACUGUUGAAUUUUUAUGGAAUGGAAUUCCAACGUUUGAAUGACUACUAGUAUGCUUUUAUCUUCUAAGACUAUUGUAUUAAAAUGUCUAGUUCUUUAGGUUUACUAUCAAUUUUUUUUUCCUUGUAUUGUUGGAAUUGUUGUGAACAUCCCAUAAAAAAAUUGCCAUAUUCCAAAAGGAAAGUAAAUCCUUCUAGUAUUGUUAUUUGUGUUUUUACUAUUUAUUCUUUGCUCAUUAGUCUGAGUUUUCUUGUUUUCCAGGCUUAUCAAAGAUUUUGAUAGGGAAGUGAAAGAUAUGGAGAGUAGAAAUGACCCAAACACUAAUAAAAUGCUGAAUGAGAAAAAGCAAUCAAUGGUGGGCCUUUUUUUUUUUUUAAAAAAAAUAGAAGUCAAUUUGCUAAUUUGCUUCCUAAUUAUNNNNNNNNNNNNNNNNNNNNNNNNNNNNNNNNNNNNNNNNNNNNNNNNNNNNNNNNNNNNNNNNNNNNNNNNNNNNNNNNNNNNNNNNNNNNNNNNNNNNNNNNNNNNNNNNNNNNNNNNNNNNNNNNNNNNNNNNNNNNNNNNNNNNNNNNNNNNNNNNNNNNNNNNNNNNNNNNNNNNNNNNNNNNNNNNNNNNNNNNNNNNNNNNNNNNNNNNNNNNNNNNNNNNNNNNNNNNNNNNNNNNNNNNNNNNNNNNNNNUUUUUUUUCUGUUUCACUCAUUAUGAUGACAUAUAAUUUAAAAUUUCAUCAAAAUUGAAUUUUUUUUAUUGUUAACUUUUGCCGAACUAGGCAAGGAACAAUUUAUGAUGGUUGGCUUAACGACUUUGCUUGCUACUUCUUGUGUUUUGAAUUGAAUAUCUUGAUUUCUUUCUUUCUUUAUAGCUAUCACUUUAUUGUUCUCUAUUGGUAAAAUAUUUGAAAAGUCCAUUACAUUUGGCAGUACUUACCUAUUUUACAAUUUAAUUUUUUUAUUUGGUACUUGUUCAAAAAAUAAAGGAAUGAUGAUUAUAAAAAUGAUACAUAUUUGUGGUAAAAUGAUAUCUUCCUUCCUCAUCAGUUAUCAUGUACAAUUUUAGUAUGUAGGAAUAAUAAAGGUCAUGUUUUUUUCCCAUGCAUAAUGCAUUUUAAUUUUUAUGUGAUUAAAAAGUCAUAUUGGCUUGAAUUUUAAUGAAUUGAGUUUUUCAUCAAGGUGCAACAUGAUAUUUCCAGAAGGGCAAGGUUAAAUAUUCAAAUGCUUAUGAUGGUUGAUAAAAAUGUAUAUGUUACAUUUAUAUUAUGUAAUAUAUGAAUGUUUAUCAUCAAAAAUAUAUAUCAAAUGCAUUUAUACAUAAUGGGUAAAAUUAAAAAUCAUUGCUCUUUUAAGUUAUGAAUAUUAUCUAUAAAAAAAUCUAUGCUAAUUUUUUAGCAAUUUAUUUUUAAAUAUAUAAUAUUUAUUAACUAAGUAGAUAAAAAUUCAUCUAUUUUGCAAUAAAACUUAUUUUGAUUAUUUUCAUAUUUAAAAACAAAUGGAGAUAACUUUUCAUUCUAUUCUAAAAAAAUGAAAUUAUGUUAUUAUGUCUAUAUUGUAUAAAAUUAUAAAUUAAUAUGUUACAAAUAAAAAGUUUAUAUAACAUUAAAUAUCCAAUAAAUGUUCAAAUAAUAAUAGUUAGGGAAAAGAAAAGGCCAUUAGUCCCUGACUAUUGCCAUUAUUAACGAGUCAUUUCCUAUAUUUUUAGAAACCUAUUAAAACGUUCUUAUUUUUUCUCUCCGUCCAUAAAGUAUUCAUUCCUUCUCCUCUUCCUUCUUAAAUAAAAAGAAGAAGAAGCAAAAAGAAGAAGGAGAAUAAGAUGGGGCUAAUUUGGCCUUUUGCUUAUUUUUAAUGGCAGAAAUAGACGGAAUUGGAUGGAAAGACUAUUUUAUUGACGGAGAGAAAAGAUAAGGAAGUUUUAAUAGAUUUUUCAAAAUCAAGGGACUGACUUGUUAAUAAUGGCAAUAUCCAGGGGUUAAAUAGUAAAUUCUCCUAAAAAAAUAUUGUGAGGUAGUGAUAAAAAAGUUAAAAGAAAUAUUGUGAUGUAGUGAUUGAUAUAGUAAGACAAAUAGAAAAGAUAUGCAUUUAAAUUAUGGGCAAAGUAUAUAAAAGUAUUUUGUGGGUUCACACAUUUUCACUUCAAGUCUAUGGUAUGAUUUGUAUUAAAGUAGUAUAUUUUAGUAUCACACUAUUAACAAACAGUGGUAAUUUCUAGAUACUGUCAGGAAAUAUCGAAAUAGCAAGCAAAAUAUAAUUGUUAAUUUUUUUCUUAAUAUUUUUAAUGGAGAAAGUGGAAAAAAGUACUUUGUGCUUUCACUCAUUUUUACUUCAAGACAUGUGAUUCAAUUUAUAUUAAAGAAGUAUCUCGUGAUAUGAUUUUCAUGUUAAUAUUUUUUGACGACGUUUGGAUUUUGGAAAUUAUCGUUGUUUGCUAACAACACAAUACUACUAGCUACUAUUUUGAUACAAAUUGAAAUACAAACCUUAAAAUGGAAAAUCGAUAAAAUUAUAGAACACUUUUUUGUACUUUUCUCUUAGAUUAUUAGCGGGUGAAUUUGAAGAGAAAAGGUGGAGAAAAAAAGUAAAACUUAAAAAGAGUACUUUGGUUUGGCAAUUGUGGUUAAAUAUUGGGAAGUUGGCAAUUAGUUGUUAAAUGUUAGCGAUUGAUGGCUAGCAUUUUAGGGGUAAAAUCAUGGUUUUAAAUAAGACUAUUACGUGACGUAACGGUUGUUAUGUAACGGGUUUUUGGGCUGUUACCUCCUUAUACAACGCCCCCCCCCCCUUGAUUUACCGGCAUAACGGCUGUUACCGGCAUAAUGGCUGUUACNNNNNNNNNNNNNNNNNNNNNNNNNNGCCAUUAACGGUUGCCAUUGAAUAACAGUAAUGGCCAUUAUCGCCCGCCAUUACGUAACGGUAAUGGCCGUUACAGUCGUUGCCAUUACCGUCUGCCGUUGCGUAAUGGUAACGACAGUUACCAAUGAUUAAAAUUAUUUUAUAUCCUUUCUCUUUUGCUCCCUAUUCUCAUUUUCAUUAGUUUCUAUACUUUUCAGCAGCUUCAAAGGCUAUAUUUUUUAAGUUCUCUUCCCUUCUUUUUCAAAUUUCAAUCUUCCCUGCAUAUUUCUCAUAUAAGCUUAGAUCCAUCAUAAACUACUCUAUUUUCAAGCUUAUUUCUUCUAAAAAUUUAGUUAAAUUUUAUCUAUGUUAGUUUUUGUUGACUUAUUUGCUAAUCCUAAUUGAUUCUAGGGAUUUGAUUUGAUUUGAUUAGGAUCCUUAAUUAUCUCUGUAAUUAUUAUUUGAUUAUUUGCUUCCUGUUUAGAUAUGAUUCUUUGUGUAUAAAUAGCCAUGUAGACAUAUUGUACAAAUCAAGAGUGAAAUACAAGAAUACUCAAUANNNNNNNNNNNNNNNNNNNNNNNNNNNNNNNNNNNNNNNNNNNNNNNNNNNNNNNNNNNNNNNNNNNNNNNNNNNNNNNNNNNNNNNNNNNNNNNNNNNNNNNNNNNNNNNNNNNNNNNNNNNNNNNNNNNNNNNNNNNNNNNNNNNNNNNNNNNNNNNNNNNNNNNNNNNNNNNNNNNNNNNNNNNNNNNNNNNNNNNNNNNNNNNNNNNNNNNNNNNNNNNNNNNNNNNNNNNNNNNNNNNNNNNNNNNNNNNNNNNNNNNNNNNNNNNNNNNNNNNNNNNNNNNNNNNNNNNNNNNNNNNNNNNNNNNNNNNNNNNNNNNNNNNNNNNNNNNNNNNNNNNNNNNNNNNNNNNNNNNNNNNNNNNNNNNNNNNNNNNNNNNNNNNNNNNNNNNNNNNNNNNNNNNNNNNNNNNNNNNNNNNNNNNNNNNNNNNNNNNNNNNNNNNNNNNNNNNNNNNNNNNNNNNNNNNNNNNNNNNNNNNNNNNNNNNNNNNNNNNNNNNNNNNNNNNNNNNNNNNNNNNNNNNNNNNNNNNNNNNNNNNNNNNNNNNNNNNNNNNNNNNNNNNNNNNNNNNNNNNNNNNNNNNNNNNNNNNNNNNNNNNNNNNNNNNNNNNNNNNNNNNNNNNNNNNNNNNNNNNNNNNNNNNNNNNNNNNNNNNNNNNNNNNNNNNNNNNNNNNNNNNNNNNNNNNNNNNNNNNNNNNNNNNNNNNNNNNNNNNNNNNNNNNNNNNNNNNNNNNNNNNNNNNNNNNNNNNNNNNNNNNNNNNNAUCCUAAUUGAUUCUAGGGAUUUGAUUUGAUUUGAUUAGGAUCCUUAAUUAUCUCUGUAAUUAUUAUUUGAUUAUUUGCUUCCUGUUUAGAUAUGAUUCUUUGUGUAUAAAUAGCCAUGUAGACAUAUUGUACAAAUCAAGAGUGAAAUACAAGAAUACUCAAUAUUCUUCCAAAAAUCUUCAGUUUUUAAUUGUUGUUUUUCCAUUUUUUAAAAAUGUUUUUGCUUUUUUAAUUGUUGUUUUUCCAUUUUUUAAAAACGUUUUUGCUGAUUAAAGUGUUAGUUUUAAGUUAAAAUUGCACUUUGAGCUGUUAGUUUAUCUAUAAAGAUUAUGUUGAUUUUUCUUAUUUUAAACUAUAUGAUGUUUAACUUAAUUUAAAUAAUCUAUAUUUUAUGUAUUUAUGUUUAUUAUGCAUUUGUAUUCAUUGUUCUGAAUUAAAUGUAAUCAAUAUCAUUCAUUUAUGAACUUUGCAAAUUUUUUUGAAAAAUUUGCGUAGCGUCAGGCCAUUACCAUUACAUUACAGCGUUUCAGGCAUGUUUCUGUUAUCCGUGGCUGCGAUCGCAAAUGUGGCUGUGAUCGCGAUUUAAAACCAUGGUUAAAAUCUAAUAACUAGAGGUGUAACUUUUAGUGUUAGAAUUAGGGCUGUGCACAGUUCUUGGAGGUUUCGAACUGAACAGAAGAACCGUAUCGGAACCAAAAAAGAACUAAAGAAUUGAUAUCAUAUAACCUGAACUGUACCGAACUGAACUUAUUUAGCUAUUUGGUUCUGGUUUCUUGUAGAGAACCGUACCAGAAGCGUAUGAAAAACCGAUUUUAUAUAUAUUAUUUUUAAAUAAUUUUAGUGAUAUUAUAGUUAUAUUAUAUAAUUUCCAUAAUAUAUUUUAUAUCUUAUAUAGUUUCAAUAGAAUCUUAUAAUUUAUAUUACUAAAAUUAUAAGAUUCUAUUUAAUGAAUUAAAAUCUUAAUUUUAUAAAUUGUUAAAUAAUAUAUGAUAGAAAAUUGUAAAUAAGUAAAGGUAUAAACAAAAUAGUUAUUUGAGAGUUAUUCCAAACUUAAUAAAAGUUUAGUUCCUUGCGUAUGUAUAUACACUCUCUUUGAUUAUUUUUAUAUUUAAUACUACCUAUUGCUUUUAUAAAUUAAAUUAUUCAUAUAAUUUAAAAAUGACUCUCUCGCUUAACUAUUAAAUAGUUACUAAAAAUAUUAUAAAAUAACCAUAUAAUCUAAUUAGUUAUUAAAAAUUUCUAACAAUAUGAUUUAAAUAAUUUAAUUAGUUAAUCAUAGUUUAUUCUAUCUAAAUAGGUUAUAUAUAUAUAUAUUUAUUAUUUCAACUAUAAAUAUAUUAAUCACUUUAUAGUUUUUAAUUAUAUUAUAUGAGUGAACCACAAAUUAGUAAUAUAAUAAGUCUUUAUAUAUUAAUUACACAUAUAUUUUUGCAUUAAAAAAAUAUAAUUAAUAAUUAUAUAUAAAAUAAUAUAAUAUUUUUACUGAGAAUUGUAUAGAAUAUAUAUUAAUAUUGAUAUUAUUAUUGUUUAAAUGUUAGUAUUUUUUUUUUUUUGAUAUUUGUUAUUUACUAUUUAAAAUAAAACAUAAGAAUAUUAUAAUUUUAUUUGUAAAAAAUCAAGAUUUGAACUAAAAUUAAAAUUAAAAUUGAAGUUAAAAAAAAUCAAAAUAAGAAUCAGAACCGAACCAAAACCGUACUGAAAUUGCUUAGAACCGUAUUGAAAUUUGGUUCUAAGUAUGGUUUCUUAAAAUCAAAGAAUCGGAGGUUUAGUUCCGGUUCUGAUUUUUAGCCAGGCCCGUAACAGAACCGGAUCCGAACAGAGCUAGUUAGAAUUAUACUUUAAACCAUUGUAAACUUUUGAAAAGCAGCUGCUAGCUCACCAUGCAUAGCAAAAACCCGACAUGCUAAAAACUUGUUUCUAACCACUUAUCCAAAAUUUUGAAUAUUCCUUAAAAAAUUCUCUAUUUUGUUAUUCUUACAUUAACACAUCUAUUGAGAAUUGAUCAUUAAGUAGUUUUUAUCACAAUAUACAUAAAUUUUUUAUCCUCAAUCAUCUAAGUAUUUGACUCCUCCAUUUGGUAUUGACUAUUGGUCUCUUCGACUCAUGUUGAUCUAAAUGUAACAUUUACCCAGUUCUGCAUGGAAUGAUGUAUGAAUAUCCAAAGUCUAAACAUACUUUUGCUUAAUUAUUUUUUUCCGGAGUGAUUUGAUUGUCAAGUGAGAAACUAUUUUGUCUUGGGAUUGAAGUUUGAAGUUGCUAUCAAAAUUGCAAAAUAGUUGAUUUCCCCUAAAUGAUUAGAAUAACUUUUUGGAGUUAAAUGUCAGAUCUUUUAUUCACGAAUAUAGCUUAAUAUUGCGUACUUUGCUUAUAAUAACUAAUUCAGCCCUGGUAUGAUGGCAUAUAGACAUGCAGCCAGUCUUGAAAGCAACAAGAGAGUUGAUCUUUUUGAUGGGCCUGGUGAAGAAUUAAAUGAAGAAAAUGUAUUGCUAGCUUCAUGUAAGUCACAGUAUUUUUUGUUGACUUUUCUAUUUUUCUCAUUUUGGGAGCAGAUGGGAGUUUUGAGUUGAUUGAGAAUACUAGUAGAAUUUCCUAUAGUUAAAAGGUCAAAUUUGCCCAUGAAUUAUACAAGGAGAGCUAAAAGUAUUAAAUUUUAUUUUUUAGUCAAAUUUGCCCCUGAACUAUCAUUAAAAGGCCAAAUAAAACCAUCACUUGUAAAGAUUUAAGAGUGUGAGCGAUGCUCUUUUCAAUCUAUUGUAAGGAUUAAGAGUGAGCUAUGCUCUUUUCAAUCUAUUUAGCUUUAUUUGAGUUUAUUUGGCCUUUUAAUGAUAGUAUAGGGGUAAAUUUAUACCGAAAGAUGAAAUUUAGCAUUUUGACUUCUGCUAUAUAGUUUAGGAGCAAAUUUGAUCUUUUUACUAAUUGCUUAUCUCUAUUUUUCUGUCCUUGUUUCUCUUCUCUUUGUCAUCUUUUCUAUCUACUUGCUUCAUAUCAAGUCACUUGUCCUACAAAGCUAACUCAUAAUUGCAUGCUGAUAAUCUAAUUUCAUUAUUAAUUUCAGUGUUAGUAUUUGUGAGUUUGUUAAUUUUACGUAUUGCAGAAAAAUGUAAAGAGGUGUGAAAGGUUGUUGAAAACUCAACAAAGGUUGGCUGAGUUCUGGAGGGAAAUUCUUAAGAGUAAUUAUUCUGUUGAAUAACUAACUCCUGGCAGGAAAGAGAAGGAUAAUAUAGCCCUUCUACGGAUUGUAUAUCCAUUCAUCAUUCAAGAAUCAAUAUAAUCUUCCUUCUUUCUCUAAAUUCUCUCUCUAUACUCCUUCCAUUCUCCUUCCAUUCUCCAUACUGUCUCUCAGAUCUCUCUCUUACUUCUUUCUCUCCCUCUCCUUCUAUAUUUCUUAAUUUCUUUGUUAGGAUUUCUGUCCUAACAAUUAACUCACGGGGUUAUAGGUUGCAUAUUAUUGAAUGCAAAUUGGUAUUAUGACCAGAGUUAGGAAAAUGAUCUUUUAGGAUGUUGAUAAUUAUUCAGAGUGGUUGAAGAGUAUUUUUUGAAUUUGAAAUUCUGGUGGAGUUUUGACUUUGAACUCUUUUUCAAAGCCAGAUUGGCUUAUAGCAACACUUUUUGGCUGCAUUGCUUGAUUUUCUAUGUGAAAAGGGUAUAAUUGACUUUUCCAUGUAUGUAUCCGUACAUGUGAUGCAUGAUUAGGAUGGGGUGGUGUUAUUUCCUACUGCACCAAGUUAUGCUGGAACUUUAUUUCGAAUGAUAUUCAUCCAAAACCACAUCAUUAUACAUUCACGAGGUAGAUGUGUUCUUGUGACUUAUUGACAUCUCCUUGCUUUAUGAUGGGUGCAUGAUGCAAUAUUUCUAUAAACCAUGGUAUCUUUUACCACUUGAUUGCAGUUCUGCCAUAGUGGAAACAUUAUUCUAAAAUUUUUUUGCUUCAUGACUCAACAAGUUAUAUAAGGUAGCAUUCUGGUUUCUCUUUUAUGUCCCAACAAAAACCAUUACAUUCUCAGUUGGUUGGUUCAGGAUUUUGUUUUGCAUUUGAUGCAAUUAGGCAUGGGAGUAAAACUAUGUAUUAUGUUGUUAUGUGCCCUUGAAUAGGAUCUUAUCACAGGUCGAUUAGCUGGAAAAUCCUCCUCCCGCCAGAUUGAUUUUCUCUUUUUAAUGUUUCUGCUCUUUUUUGAGGAAUCUAUUGUGAGAUAAAUUGAGAACUCGUUUGGGAGAAUUCUCGAAUUUCAUAAACUGAUGAAUAAUAUUUUCUGAAUGUUUUGUUCAAUGAUCUCAAGUGCCUCUUUAUAGUGAAGGCUACAUUCAAAUUGUAUCAACAUUUGAAUUCAUAAUACUUUUUAUCUUCUAUUAAAAUUUAAAAUUUAAAAGUUCAACCAAAGAUAGCAACUAAAAAAUCAAAUUAGAGAUAACAAGUUAAGAUACUAAUCUUAUUUGUUGCAACCACUCUAAUCAGAAUCUAUCAAAUAGAAAGAUAAUACAUAUUCAUGACGAUACCUCCUUGGAGAAAAAGCUUGUCCUCAAACUUGUCCCUAGGCUUGUUUGGUUCAAUAAUAGGAGACCCUGGAUCCUUCAACUCCACUCAAAGUAAAUUUUUGCAUUGAUGGUUAAUAAAUGUCUCAUCACAAUUGUAGGAAAGGCCUUUAGCUUGACGUUAAGCCAGUUCUAUCUUUCUAAGUCUUUUUUGACAAAUGGAGUUGAGGUGUUUCUGAUAUUUGAAGACGUUGCAUUAUUAUUUCCCUUAGACUUUUGAGUUAAACUACCAAUAGAUGGUGCAGACCUAAACUACCAAUAGAUGGUGGAGACCCUUGAAAAUGACCCAUAAGCUGCCAUCAUUCGACGCAAUUAUUGUUUCUUCUUGAAUGUUCAAGCAAAAUUCGUUGUUGUAACUAAAUUGGUAGGGUGUUUUCGUUCCACUUCAAGUCGAAUAGUCUUAGACAAUCCUAUAGUAAAAAAGUCAAUUUAUUAGUUGGUUCAAAUAGUUAUCGCUCUAGCCGAUAAGGAUUGAAAUUGGCAGUGAUAAUCUUCUAUUGAUUUAACUUGCUUUAAAUUCACUAACUCCCCCAAGGGAUUGCCAUGCAAAGGAGGACUAAAUUGCAAGUUGCAGUUCUCUUUGAACGCUUGCCAUGUCAUUCUAGGUUCUUAUUCAUGUCAAUAAAACCAAAAUUGAGCCUCAACAUUAAUAUGAAAGAUAGUUAGACUGACUUUAUCUACUUUCAUCGUUAGUUGAUUUUGAAAAAGUUAUUCAUAGUGAUUAAGCCAUCCAAGCGGGUCGUUGGAGCCAUCAAAUGAGGGAAAGCUAAGUUUCGUAUAUCUAGGCACUACGCGCCCUUUAGAAUGAUCAUUAUUUGGUUGGAAAAAAUUUUGUUGACUGCUAAUUGUUCCAUCUUGGUUUUGGUUUGCUUCUUUACUGAAGGUGCAAAUGAGCUCCGAAACUUGAUGAGAGAAGUCGUUGAAUCGAGCAUUGUUUUGUUGUUUGAAAGAGUUCAGCUUCUUUUCCAGAUUUGCUGAAUCGUCCAUAAUGAUCGACUAUGAUACCAAAUUAUUAUGUGCCCUUGAAUAGGAUCUCAUUAUAGGUCGAUUAAUUGGAAAAUCCUCCUCUCGCCAUACUGAUUUUCUCUUAUUAAUGUUUCUAGUUUUCUUUGAGAAACCUAUUGUGAAAUAAAUUGAGAACUCGUUUGAGAGAAUUCGAAUCUCAUAAACUGAUGAAUAAUAUUUCUGAAUGUUUUAUUCAAUGAUCUCAAGUGCCUUUUUAUAAUGAAGGCUACAUUUAGAUUGAAUCAACAUGUGAAUUCAAAAUUACUUCCUAACUUCUAUUAAAAUUUAAAAUUUAAAAAUUUAACUAAAGAUAGCAACUAUAUAAUUAAAUUAGAGAUAACAAGCUAAGAUACUGAUCUUAUUUAUUGCAACCACUUUGAUAAGAAUUUACCAUAUAGAAGGAUAAUGCAUAUCCAUAACAUAUGUCUUACCUUUAUUUGGAGCAUUUCUAAGACAGGCCAAAAUCUUUUGCAGCUAUGACAAAUCAGCAGUUAAUGGAUCAUGGAAACCAAAUGAUGGAUGAGACUGACCAUGCAAUUGAGAGGGGUAAAAAGGUGUGUCUUUGUAAAAGGCCUAUACAUACAUUUACUUAUUUACAUGUGUGAAGCUUCUGCAGAUACAAAGGACAAACCUUCAUACUCUCAGCUUAAACUCCACAACUCCUAACUGAAUGAAAAAAUAGAGAUAAUGAAAUAAGAAAAAUCAAAGAGGAAACUGUAGAAUGCUGUUUCUUGUUUUAAAGCUUUGAUGUUACUCUUUACUGUUCCCUGUUUGUUUGCCGUUAUCCUAGAUUGUUCAAGAGACCAUAAAUGUCGGAACAGAAACAGCAGCAGCUCUUAAGGCUCAGGUACACAAUUCAGCAUCUAAAAAGUUGGCUAGUGAUACUUUGUAGCAUCUAAGAACUUUGACUUGCUUUAUUAGAUUUUGUCCAGAAGCUAAAAGAAAAAAAAGGUAGAAUUCAAUGCCUUAUGCAAUGGCCUGGGAACUAAGAGCAUUUUCGUGUGCAGACUGAACAAAUGAGUAGGAUUGUUAAUGAGCUUGACUCUAUCCAUUUCUCAAUCAAGAAAGCUUCUCAAUUGGUCAAGGAAAUUGGUAGGCAGGUCAAUUUCUAGAAUAUCCACUUCCUUUUCAUACAUAUUUCCUUUCCUUUCAUUUGUUGUAGUUCAUGCUAACUUGAUUCUACCUUCAGGUUGCAACUGACAAGUGCAUUAUGGCAAUGCUUUUCCUUAUUGUCAUUGGAAUCGUAGCAAUUAUUAUUGUGAAGGUAAAUCAUCCUUGUGCUUUCUUCAGUCAAGAAAUGAUAGCAUUAAAGUUUGAGAUUUGCUUGCCACCUAUUGUCAGUUUGUUACUAAAAUUUGUUGAUUUCAUGAUGUUCCAUUUUAAUCUAGAGAUAGUUUCAUAGAUAAAUGUGUGUUAAAUUUGGGUCAGACCUAACUCACCCCAAAAGCUAGCUCAAGGGGGAGGAGUGCCUAUGGCUCAUAUAACGGGCACAUUACCCCUUUCCACAACCGAUGUGAGAUUCAACACACCCCUUCACGCCCAGAAUUUUUUACUGGUGCGUGGCACAUUUAUGGGGCGCCCAACAUCGGAUGGAGAGGCUCUGAUACCAUGAAACUUUGAUGAAAGGAAGAAAAAGAGAGCAGAAGAUUUGAGAGAAAAUACUUGAUUAUUUCCCUUAAGCCAAUUGGGUUAUAUAUACUACUUACAAGAGUACACACUAAGUAAGAAAAUAAAUUAAUUUCCUAAUUAUAGUCUAAUCAUAUCUUAAUCAUAUCACACAAUCAUAUCCCUAAUUACCACUACAAAUCUAGGCAAUUUACAGAAAUAAUCUCAACAAUGUGAAAUAAACUUUUAUGAUAAGAACUUUGACAGCCACGUUUUUCUUGACGCUUACAAAGUAAAAAAGGUAAAAUAAUAGGGAAAAUAUUAUUUUGUUGCAAUUUUGUUGUGGAUGUUUUGCAUUUUUUUAAAACUAGGGUUGACCUAUGUAGGCAUGAGCAGCUGAGGCUUGCUCGAAUGUACUAAGUGUAAGCUGCAACCCUUCUUUUUAUUACGAAUGCCAGACCUGUUGCUUCAAGUCAGUGAAGAAUAUUCUCGACAUCAGAAUUCUUUUUCAGCCAUCACCUUAGGAACACAAAUUAUCAUGCACAUGAAAAUGAAGAUGACCCUGCAUAUGCAAUUAUGAGCCAAUGAUACCAAAAAUUCUUUCUUCAUUUAUCUAAAAAUUAAAUUAAGAGCUUUGUUCCAGAUUUUGUUGAGAUCCAUGGAAUAUAUUCCAUAUCUUUUUAUAUCUCCCUAUAAAAUCAAAUCGAAAUGCCACCUUUUGAACAAGUCUAUUGGGAAUAAUGUAUAGAUCAUAGGAUUAAAAUAGAAUGCUAGAAAUGUAGAUGAUAUGGGGUCUUGUGCCAUUUUAGAACUCCAACUAAGUUGAAGGCAAAGUUCUACAUAACUAAAAUUGAUAGGCUCUAACAUAGGAUGAGUAUUGCACGGUGAAGAAACAUGUCCACAAAAUGAGUUUUAAAUUGAUGAGGAUGAUGAGAUGGAAUUUACGGAUAUCACAUGGAACAAGACCCGGUUGACAAAGGACAAUGGAGCAACGCCCAUGCACCGAGAAACAACCACCGGAAGAUGUCUAUUCAGCUAUUGAAACACAGAGGUAGGGGUGAUCAUUCGGUCUGUUCGGUUUAAAACCGGACCGAAUAAACCGAAAAUCAAAAUUUUAAUAUUUAUGAAAAUCGAAUCGAAUCGAUUUUGCUCAGAAACCGAAUCAAACCGGACCGGUAUGAUUCGGUUCGGUUUGAUUGAUUCCAAUUUUUAAUACAUUUUUUAUUUUUUAUAUUUUAUUUUUAAUAUUUUAAAAUUUAAUUAAAAUAUUUUAAUCUUAAUAUGAUUUAGUUUCUCUAUAUUAUUAAAAAUAACAUAUUAUUAUCACUAAUCGGUUUGGUUUGAUUUUUUUGAUUUUUUCUGAUCAAAACCAAACCGAACCGAAAUAAUUGAAAUUUUUGAAAUUAAGAACUGAAUCGAACCGCAAUGAAUAAAAAAUCGAACUGAAUUUUUAAAUUAAUUCGGUUUGGUCGGUUUUUUCGGUUUGAACCGAAUACUGCUCGCCCUUACACAGAGAUAGAAGCAAUUGAGGUCUUGCAUGGAUCCAAACACUGCCUAAAUUCCACUUCCCCGACAAAAACAAACAUCCUCAUUGUAACUAAGCCUUCGGCGAUGCGGAAUCCAGAAUUAACUUGUAAUAAAAAAUUCUCUCACACAAUUUGACAAAUAAUGAGGUAAAGAUAUCUUGCAUAAAUUUGCUCUACUACACCCUUAAUCAACUAAUGUGAUUAGAAACGAAGAUAAUCAAGAGAUUCCAGCUAAAGAACGCUAUAAGAAAUUCUUGAUAAGUUAAUUAAGUGAAGAAUUUUUGGGAAGUUUAGAGUAUUUUUGUAUUUCACUCUUGAUCUUUACAAUUGUUUUGCAUGACUAUUUAUACAUAAAUAACCAAUGUGAUUAGAAACAAAGAUAAUCAAGCGAUUCUAACUAGAGAACGCCAUAAGAAAUUCUUGAUAAACUAAGUGAAAAAUUUUGGAGAAGUUUAGAGUAUUCUUGUAUUUCACUCUUGAUCUUUACAAUUGUUUUACAUAACUAUUUAUACACAAAGAAUUAUAUCUAAACAGGAAGUAAAUAAUCAAAUAAUAAUUACAAAGAUAAUUAAGGAUCCUAAUCAAUUCAAAUCAUAUCCCUAGAAUCAGCUAGAAUCAGCAAAUAAGUCAACACUCUCCCUCAAGUUGGUGCAAAGAUGUCGCACAUGCCCAACUUGCAAAUCAGAUUAUGGUAGUAAACACAUCCGCAAGUUGCCUAGUAGAAGUCACAUGAACUAAGUCCAAGAUACUGUUUGUUAAUUUUUAUUUGAUGAAGUGCCGAUCAAUCUCAAUGUAUUUCGUCUGGUCAUGUUGGACUGGAUUUUGUGCUAUAUUGAUAGCGGCUUUAUUGUCACAAUACAAAGUUAUCUUAUCUCUCUUGGCAACCUCAACUCCUCCAAUAACUUCUACAACCAUAAGAGUUCACACACACUUUGGGCCAUUGUUCUGUAUUCUGCUUUAGCACUUGACCGAGCAACAACACUUUGUUUUUUACUCCUCCAGUUGACAAGGUUCCUUCCUACAACUGUGCAAUAGCUAGAGAUAGAUCUCCUGUCAUCAAGAGAUCCUGCUCAAUCUGCAUCUGUAAAAGUUUCAACUCGGAGGUGACCAUGUUUGGAAUAAAGAAGCCCUUUCCCUGGCGCAGACUUUAGGUAUCUCAAGAUGUGAAGUACAGCCUGCAUAUGAGUCUCGUGAGGGUCAUGUAUGAAUUAGUUGACUAAGCUAACAGCAUAGGCUAUAUCCGGUCGAGUGCGUGAGAGAUAAAUUAACCUUCCUACCAAUCUCUAAUAUCUUCCAAUAUCCAUGGACUCACCAGUUCCUGCUUCCAGUUUGUGAUUACUUUCAAUGGGAGAUUCUGCUGGUUUACAUCCCAACAUAUCAGUUUCUUUCAAAAGAUCCAUAAUGUACUUUCUUUGUGAGAUGAAUAUUCUUUUUUCUGAUCUAGCCACCUCAAUACCUAGAAAAUAUUGUAGUUUUUCUCGAUUUUUGAUUUCAAAUUCUUGACCAACAACCUUUUUAGUUGAGCCGUUUCCUCUUUGUCAUCACCUGUUACUACUAUAUCAUCAACAUACACAAUAAGAAAGGUGAUCUUACCCUUGUGAUGUUUGAUAUAUAGAGUGUGAUCAGGAUUGCUCUGUUGGUAACCAAAGGACAUCAUGGCUCUACUAAACUUGUUAAACCAAGCUCUGGGAGAAUGUUUUAGCCCAUAUAAAGCCUUUUUUAACCUGCACACCUUUCUUUGUGUCUUCUCAUUAACGAACCCAGGAGUGAUUUCCAUGAAUACUUAUUUCUCUAAAUCUCCAUAGAGGAAAGCAUUCUUCACAUCAAACUGUUGCAAGUCCGAGUCCAAGUUGGUUGCGCAAGAUAAUAGGACUCUGAUUGAGUUCAUUUUUGCAACUGGGGCAAAUGUCUCUUGAUAAUCCACUCCAUAGGUUUGGGUGAAUCUUUUAGCAAUGAAUCUGAACUUAAACCGUUCAAUUGUACCAUCAGUUUUGUAUUUCACUGUGAACACCCACUUACAUCCAAUGAGUUUCUUUCUAAGUGGGAGAGUGACAAGCUCCCGAGUCUCAUUUUCAGCCGAUGCUUUUAUCUCUUCAAUUACCUUCUAUUUAGGAUCUGCAAGAGUUUUCUUUCAAUCAUGUGGAAUAGACACAGAGGAAAUAGGCAAGGUAAAGGGUCUAUAGGAGGGAGACAAGGAUUCAUAAGAAACAAAGUUAGAAAUAUGAUGUUUAGUACAAGAUCUGACCCAUUUUCUCUGUGUAAUAGGUUUAUCUAGGUCAUUGGAGCAUUAAAGAGUUGUGGGUAACUUACUAGAAGAAGAUUAUUGACUCUGAGUAGACUGCAUAAUGGCUUCUUCUGCCUUGUCUCUCCUUGAAUACCUCCUCAAAUCUGGCUUGUCCAAACAUCCAAUUCACUCCCCCUGAUUGGACAUCUCUCCUUGUCUACUAGAACUCAAACUCUCUAGCUGAACCAUAUCAUUCAGAAUCAGAAUUUGGGAUCACCUCUUCUUGCUUAUUAUUAUCCCCCUGAAGAGGUGAGUGGGUGGUACUGAAGUAGUGUUCAGUUUCUCGGAAGGUAACAUCCAUACUGACAAAGUAUUUCCUAAAUGGAGGAUAAUAACACCUAUAUCCCUUCUGUCUCGGAAAAUAACCAACAAACACACAUUUAAGGGUCUUGGGGUCCAACUUCCUUACCGUCUUAGCAUGGACAAAGCAAACACAUCCAAAUACUUUUGGUGGUGUUAUAAGUAAUAGAAAGUAAAUAUGUUAAUAUAGGAAGUAAAUAUUGAUAGAUGGGUCAGUUGCUUAAUCUUAGGGAUUGUAUAAUCAUAGGCUUGAUUUUCCUUCCUGUUUAGUUACUGUCUCUCAUGUAUAAAUAGGUUGUAAUCUCUAUUGUGAUAUACAACAAAUAUUAUCUUUCUACAUGGUAUCAGAGCCUUUCUCGUAGAGAUUUUUUUUCUCUUUUCUCUCUCGUAAAGUUUUAAAAUUUUUUUGGAGACUUAGGGCUCCGUUCAUUUGGGUCAUCUAUAAAGUGUAACAUUUGGAUCUCACCAUCACUGGAGUCGCCACACCGACCCCUUGUCAGAUUUGAGGUUUGUUUGCCGUUCGGGUGUUCGGGUGUUGGGUGGAGGUAUUUUAUUUGGUACUGUUUAUCGGUACUGUUCACGGGCACUGUUCACUGAUACUGUUCAUCGGCACUGUUCAUGUGGUACUGUUCAUGCCGGGUACUGUUUUCUGAUUCUGUGUUUCUUUUGUUGCUAUCGUUUUGGGUUGGUUGUCCUUAUGGCUGAAGUUAAAACCACCACCGUAACUGAUGUGAUUCCUAUGAUGACUAAAAUCACGGAACACAAAUUGAAUGGAUCUUCUGAUCAAGGAAUUUUGAUAUCUGCAGAUGAGUAUGCACAAUUCAUCCAAUACCAGGCAUCUAUAAAAUCCUCUAAUUCAUCCUCUAUCACUGCAAUUGCCAAGUCAGGUAACUCUACUGCAUGUCUUGUGUCUUCAUCCUUCAAAUGGGUUAUUGAUUCUGGUGCUACCGAUCAUAUGUCAGGUAAUUCUACCCUUUUGUCCAAUCUUGAGUCUCAUACAUCGCCUUCUUAUGUUACUCUUGCUGAUGGCACUAAAUCGUCUGUCAUGGAUUCUGGUCAUGUCAACUUAACCCCUUCUCUUACCACAGAAGACAGUGAGCCAUUUGCAAAUCCUGGAAGGUAUAGAAGAUUAGUUGGCAAGCUGAAUUAUUUGACGGUGACUUGUCCUGAUAUUGCAUAUUCAGUGAGUGUGGUAAGUCAGUUUAUGUCUUCUCCUACUGUUGCCCAGUGGGAUGCUCUGGGACAGAUUCUUUGUUACUUUAAAGGGGCCCCAGGGCGAGGCCUAUUCUAUGGUAACCAUGGGCACUCAAAUAUUGAAUGCUUUUGUGAUGCUGAUUGGGCAGGCUCGAAAGUUGAUAGGAGGUCAAUUACUAGGUAUUGUGUUUUUGUGGGAAGUAACUUGGUCUCAUGGAAAAGUAAGAAGCAAAAUGUGGUCUUCUGUUCUAGUGCUGAAUCUGAAUACCGAGCUAUGGCACAAGCCGUGUGUGAAAUCUUGUGGGUACGUCAACUGUUGGAAGAAGUUGGGUUCACAAAUUCGGUGCCUGCUAAGUUGUGGUGUGAUAAUCAAGCAGCUAUCCACAUUGCCUCCAAUCCAGUAUUUCAUAAGAGGACUAAACACAUCGAGAUUGAUUGUCAUUUUGUUCGUGAAAAGGUCCAACAAAAGAUAAUAUCAACAUGACAUAUCCGAACUGGAGAACAAUUAGGAGAUAUUUUCAUUAAAGCUCUAAAUGGGACUCGAGUUGAUUAUAUAUGUAACAAGUUGGGCAUGAUUAACAUUUAUGAUCCAACUUGAGGGGGAGUGUUAUAAGUUAUAGAAAGUAAAUAUGUUAAUAUAGGAAGUAAAUAUUGAUAGAUGGGUCAGUUGCUUAAUCUUAGGGAUUGUAUAAUCAUAGGCUUGAUUUUCCUUCCUGUUUAGUUACUGUCUCUCAUGUAUAAUAGAUUGUAAUCUCUAUUGUGAUAUACAACAAAUAUUAUCUUUCUACAGGUGGAACAAUGUAUAAAUUCUUCCCUAGUAGAAUCUCCAAAGGACUCAUAAAGUCAAGGGCCUUGAGACUGCAUCCCCCCAAUAUAUUUUGGGUAGAUUGAUGGUAAACAUAAGAGAUCAAGCUACCUCUAAUAGAUGCCUGUUUUUCCUUUCAGCAACGCCAUUUUGAGCACUAGUAUAAGGACAACUAGUCGGUGUACUAUCCUAUUAUUCUCCAAAUAAUAAAAAAAACUACUAUCCAUGUAUUAUCUUCCACUGUCAGUUCUUAAAAUUUUCACCUUAGUAUCAAAUUGAGUACAAAUCAUCUUAUGAAAAAAUUGAAAACAAAAAAAGACAUCACUUUUAGCUUUAAUCAAAUAGACCCAAGUCAUUCGAGUACAACAAUCAAUAAAGGCGACAAAUCAUCGAUUACCAGAUAAGAAGUCAGUUUGAGUAGGCCUUCAAACAUUAGAAUAAAUAGUCACAAAAGGAAUUUAGCUUUUAUUAUGACUCAAAGAAUAUGAGGUUCUAGUGUGCUUAGAAUACUCGUACGCAUCACAAAAUAGGGAACCAAACUGAGUUCUAGCAAAUAAAUUAGGAUAAAUUUUUCUAAGACAAAAAAUGAUGGAUGCCCUAACUGCCUGUGACACUGUAUUCUUUCCUGAUUGACAUCCUUAUUUUCUUCAAAACAGACUUAGAGAUAUCGGAGAACUUGGAUUAUGUAUAAGCCAUUAGCCUACCAUUGCCAAUCCUCAUCCCUGUACAAAGAUCCUGAUGAUUAGGAAAGAAUUCAAUUUUACAGUUAAGAGUAUUGGUGAUAGCAUUGACAAAUAAAAGGUUGACAGGAAAGCAGGGAACAUGAAGGACAGAUGAUAAUUUAAUAUUGGAUAUACAAAUAACAGAACAUAUUCUGGAUAUGGAAGUAAAAGAGCCAUCAGCAAUUAUGACACUAUCUUUGGUUAGAAAAGGAAAAUAAUUGAGAAAUCUUUUAGAAGAGUCUGCCAUGUAUCUAUUCGCAUCAGAAUCAAUAAUCCAUCCAUAGAACAUUAUCAAGAGAGGAAGCAUUACUAGAUUUAAAAAAAUUAGAUGUGGCACCGGAGGAUAAAGAGGUGUCAAUAUGAGACAAGAGGCGCUUGAGACUCUGAAUUUCAUUAAGAGAAAGGAACUCAGUCACUGUUGUCUCCUUAAGGGGCUCCUCCAUAGUAUCUGCUAAAUUAGCGUGAGUUUUGGAGGUACCUCGUUUCCCCCCACGGCCUCUAGUGGGACGACUAUAUAACUUCCAAUAAGUCUCCUUGGUAUGCAUCGGUUUCCCACAAUAGUCACAGUGUAGGUGAUCUUUCUUAGAAUUAGGAGGUUGCAGUGUGCUCAAACUAGUAGUCAACUCAGCCUUUUCAACUGGUGUAGUAUAGAGCAUAGCAUAUCGAUGACUUUCCUCUUGUUGAACAUAGGCGUGGGUCUUUUCUAGAGAAGAAAAAAGAUUUUUUUUUCCAACACUUAGACCCGAAUUGGAUCAUAGAACAUUAUCAAGAGAGGAAGCAUUACUAGAUUUUAAAAAACUAGAUGUGGCAUUGGAGGAUAAAGAGGUGUCACUAUGAGACAAGAGGCGCUUGAGACUCUGAAUUUCAUUAAGGGAUAGGAACUCAGUCAAUGUUGUCUCCUUAAGGGGGCUCUUCCAUAGUAUUUGCUAAAUUAGCGUGAGUUGUGGAGGUACAUUGUUUCCCCCACGGCCUUUUGUGGGACGGUCAUGUAACUUCCGAUAAGUCUCCUUGGUAUGUCUCGAUUUUCCACAAUAGUCACAGUGUAAGUGAUCUUUCUUAGAAUUAGGAGGUUGCAGUGUGCUCAAACUAGUACUCAACCCAGCCUUUUCAACUGGUGUAGUAUAGAGCAUAGCAUGUCGACGACUUUCCUCUUGUUGAACAUGGGCGUGGGCCUCUUCUAGAGAAGGAAAAAGAUGUUUUUUCAACACUUGGACCCGAAUUGGAUCAUAGAACAUUAUCAAGAGAGGAAACAUUACCAGAUUUUAAAAAAAUAGAUGUGGCACCGGAGGAUAAAGAGGUGUCAAUAUGAGACAAGAGGCGCUUGAGACUCUGAAUUUCAUUAAGGGAAAGGAACUCAGUUACUGUUGUCUACUUAAGGGACUCUUCCAUAGUAUCUGCUAAAUUAGCGUGAGUUAUGAAGGUACUGUGUUUUCCCCUACGGCCUCUAGUGGGACGACCAUGUAACUUCCAAUAAGUCUCCUUGGUAUGCCUCGGUUUUUCACAAUAGUCACAGUAUAGGUGAUCUUUCUCAGAAUUAGGAGUUGCAGUGUGCUUAAACUAGUAGUCAACCCAGCCUUUUCAACUGUUGUAGUAUAGAGCAUAGCAUGUCGACGACUUUCUUCUUAUUGAACAUGGGCGUGGGCCUCUUCUAGAGAAGGAAAAUGAUUUUUUCCCAACACUUAGACUGGAAUUGAAUCAUAUUCUUUAUUCAAUCCUGCAAGAAAAUCAUAGACGUGCUCAUUUUCAAUCAUUCUCCUAAAUUUGACUGCAUCUCUAGUGCAGUCUGCUUGGAAGUCUUGAUAGUAAUCAAGUUCCUGUCAUUAGCCACAUAACUCAGAAUAAAAUUGAGAGAUAGUCAUUUCUCUUUGCUUAGUACCAUGGAUCUUAUUCCAAAUAUCAUAAAUUUUGGCAUCAAUUCUAAUCUUGGAAUAAGUUAAGGACAAGGCUUCUAUAUUUGUGCAGCAGUAUCAAUUAAUAAAUAAGACUUAGAGAUAUGAGGUUGCAUAGAGUUAAGUAACCAUGUGAUAACAAGACAAUUAUCGAAGUCCCAUACCUUUCCAGUUUUUCCACCAAGGUCAUACUAGCAAUAUUAGUACAACUCUCACUAUCAAUAAUCAUUACACAUACCUUCCCACCUAUAAGGCAUGGCAUGUGGAAGAUAUUUUUUCGUUGCUCCAAACCAUCUUCUUUUACUUGCAUGUUCAAUGCACGCCCGACAACAAGUGACUCACCUUGCACAAUAUACUCAAUGUUUUCUUCAUCAGACCAAUCUUCUAAAGAAGACAUGUUGUCACUGUCAAAUUCUAAUUCAGAGAUAAUUUCACUAUUGUCUAGCAAAAAUCUAGUCUUGCUAUUGGGACAUUGAGAUGCAAUAUGUCCCAUUUUUAAGCACUUGAUGUUGCGAUUCUUGCUAGGAGAAGAUGGUAUUUCAGUUGUAGCUUUGGAAGUAGUGUUUUGCGACUUACUAUUGAAAUUCUUGUCUUUGCUUUCAGAAACUCUCCUUGCCCGUUUCAUCUUUCUUGGACCAUUUUGAAGUUCAAGUGUUGUUUUGGAAUGUUUUGGCACCACCCUUCUCUUUCAGCUGCUUCUCUAUCUUCAUCGCCAUACUCACCAUAUCAUCAAGUUCUACAUAAUAGUAUAGUUUGAUGAUGUUGGCGAUCUCUUUGUUAAGCCCAUUCAAAAAUCUAACCAUGAUUGCUUUUUAGUCCUCUUCCACUCUAGCCCUCAUUAUUGCAAUUUCUAUUUCCUAUGGAUUAUUCAACAAACAUGGAACCUUGUGUCAACCUUUGCAACUUUUGGUGUAGCUUGCGAUAGUAAUAGGAUAGAAUAAACCACUUUCGCAUGAUAUACUUCAUCUCUUUCCAAGUUGCUAUUGACCCUUCUUGAUUUCUACACCUGGCUAAAAGUAAUUGAUGCCACCAAACUAAUGCAUAGUCAGUAAAUUCAACAGUAGCUAAUUUUACCUUUUUCUCUUCAGAGUAGUUGUAGCACUCAAAAAUUAGCUUCACCUUUUCUAUUUAAGAUAAGGUUCAACAUCAUUUCGUUCAUCUUGAUGCAAUUGAUGUUGCUAUCUUUCCUUUUAGUUCUCUCCUCCCUCCUUUGCCUCCUCAUGGACUGUGCGUCCUCUUCAUGUUCGAAAGUUAAAUCACCUACUUCUUCAAGAAGGGGUUUGUUUUGUCUAUUUCCUCUAUUACCUGUGUUCCUGGUGUUGUUGACGGUAGUUUGCCGCAACUCUUUAAUCUUCAUCGUUUGUCUUUUAAUGUUGUCGUGGUACUCAUUUAGCACUAUAUAGAGGCAUUGGAAUUGAUCGGCGACUGCCUUGUUAUAGAAAUUUUCAGCUUGCUCAACGUCUUUAUAUUUUUUUUAUCAUCAUGGAAUUUGAUUUUAAACAAACAAGAAAAUAAAAAGAAAUUGGACCUCACGCGCUCCCUUGCGUGUUUCUCUUGAAAAAUUGUUUUACUCAUGUUUCGCUCACAAGUUGGCUUUUACUCUCUUAAAAACUCAUCACUCAAGUCUGUUACCUCUCUAUGUUCAACUUAAGAGUGUUGCACCUUAGAACCAACACAUAACACAAGAUUAAUAAGAUUGCAAUAAUAGAAAUUAAACAAUGAUAUUUUGAACAAUAAAAAAAGUAUAAAAGCAAAAUCUAGAGGCAAAAACACACAAUAAAAUAUUAGUACAAGAUAGCAAUGAAUAUGUUAAUGAUGCAAUUUAAUGAGUAAUAUGCAGCAAUUAUGUUACCCUUUGUGCAUAGAAUGCCAACAAAGGAAACAAAAUAAAACAAAGAUGACAUAUUAAGAGAAAAUGCUAAUACAAAAACACACUUCCCUAAUAGAAGCCGAAUUGAACUUAAACUUGUUAAUUUGGGUCAGGCCUAACUCACCCCAAAAGCUAGCUCAAGGUGAGGUUUAUCUAUGACCCAUAUAAGGGGCACAUUAUCCCUUUCCACAACCGAUAUGGGAUUCAACACACCCCUUCACGCCCAGAAUUUUUUACUGGUGCAUGAUAUAUUUAUGGGAGGCCCAACAUCGGUGGGAAGGCUCUGAUACCAUGUUAAUUUGGGCCAGGCCUAACUCACCCCAAAAGCUAUAUUCAACACACCCCUUCACGCCCAUAAUUUUUUACUGGUGCGUGACAUAUUUAUGGGAGGCCCAACAUCGGUGGGAAGGCUCUGAUACCAUGUUAAUUUGGGCCAGGCCUAACUCACCCCAAAAGUUAGCUCAAGGGGGAGGUUUAUCUAUGAUCCAUAUAAGGGGGCAUAUUACCCCUUUCCACAAUCGAUGUGGGAUUCAACAAAACUAAUAUUCAAUGUUUGAAAGCUCUAAACUAGCAAAAACACACAAAAAUAAAAACUUCAGGCAUGUAAUAAUUCUAGAACCUCAAACCAAAAGUUUCAAUCAAGGUAUAUGUCAAACAUGUUACAAAGUUGCUUUUUUUUUUUUCUUUCAACCUCAAAAAUGAAAUUUCAAGAAGUAAUUUUUUUUUGGCGAAUUUUCUAGAUAUGAUUUUUUUAUUUUAUUUUAUUUUAUUUACUAAAACUUGUGAUAGGACAAAAUUGAGAAGCAAACAUAGCAAAAUGAAUCGAUAACAAGCUAUCAAAAUAAGAAAACAAAUUAACAGUAACUAUAACUAUGUAAUUAAAAAAAAAAGGAUAAAUAUAAGGAAUUAAGGAUAGAUAAGUUGGAAUUUAUCUAUGAUCUAGGCUUUGAUACCAAUUAAUGCGAAACCUAGGAUCAACUCGUGAUUCAAAAUUCCAUCACAAAACUUGACAAAGAAUGAGCUAAAAAUAUCUUCCAUAAGAUUGCUCUACCACACUCCUAAUCAACCAAUGUAAUUAAAAACGAAGAUAAUCAAGCGAUUCCCAGCUAGAGACCGCUACAAGAAAUUCUUCAUGAGUUAACUAAGCAUGGAGAAAAUUCAUAUAAAAUGCCAUAACAUUGAACUUUGAUAAGUUGUUAUACAUGGAGGCACAAAGUAUUAACCAUUUUGCAAUGGAAAACAUAAAUUCUCGUUAUGGAGAUAAAUAUCAAAUCCUUGCUUAACUUUCUACAUACAAAAUAAAAGCUAUUUAUAGCCAAAUAUCUCUUAAUCCUAGUUGAAAUAGGAAAACAAAACAAAUUCUAAUUGAAAUAGGAAAAUAAGACAAAUUCUCAUUAAAAUAGAAAAAUAUAAGAUAAUUCUAUUUGAAUAAGAAAAAUUAUAUCUAAUUCUACUAAUUUAACUCUUAAUCUAUACAGGAUUAUAAAAGACACCAAAACACACUAAAAUAUUUCAUAUAUGAGCUCCCAAAAUUGAAUUAAUUAUGACUGAAAUUGGAUCUAUAAAUUUUUAAAAAAUAAGCCAAUUUAUUUUUCGUCUUCCAAAUGUGGUAUUCAACAUGAAUAAUUUGAAUUCUCCUUGAGUCCUGAUGAUUUAUUACUUCCUAGUUGAAUGCUCGACGAAUAUCACAAUAGUUUUGCGCUUCAAGUUGUUGAAAAGUAUUGCCCCUUAUGCAUGCAUCAUCCAGCCAGAGAGGAGAAGCGGCAAAAGUCGUAGGUGGAGGGGCUCAUCGAUGACUCUCUCGCGCCUUAUGGGUGGCAAUCUUCGGCUCUCUCCAGUGAGAUUCCACACAUAUUCCACUGUCAAAAGAACCUUUGACAUUACAGAUCUACAAAACAAGCACCUAGAAAAAUGACGAUCACCGGUGCCUGUCCAAAAGAUCAUCCAUGCACUUCAAGGCUCGGAAGAAAAGGAAGAAACAACCACAAGAACCCUAAAAACACAAAAGCUAACUAAACUAGAAAACUGAAAAGACACGGGCAACUCCAAGAGAAACACCCUCACAGGUAAAGCGCUGGCUGCCAAAACAACAAGAUAAAAGGAUAUUCACAACCCAACCCGGCGGUGGGGAGGGGAACCCAUAGCUAGACUAGGUUAGGAGCCUCUCCUCCCUAUUGGGGCAGUAGAGGCCAUGUAAAGCAGCGGAAAAAGAGGGUUUUGGAACCCUAGAAGGACACUAAUAGAGAGAAAAAUCUCUCUCUACCCACAAAGUGAGAGAAGAAAACCUCUGAUUGAUUGGACAAGGAAUGAGAGAAUGAGUGCAUCUCUGAAAACAUGAAAGUGGCAUCCACAAACAAUACUAUGAAAUGGGUGAUUAUAAUGGUUUUAACUUGCUUGUCAUAGAGUAGUUGAUGCACCAUGAUAGAAAGUCCCACCGUGAUAGAAAGUCCAGCGUACCAAAAUUAGAAAAGUAAUGUGAAUGAAAUGGAGGAGCAUGGUCUUAGUUUGAGCUGCUGAUGAUCAUCUGCAACUGCAAUCGAUUGCCUUUUUCUUUUAAACUGGUAGUUUGUCAAUUCCUGACCGAAGUCAUUCUAUAUACAAUCUCCAUCUUUUCACCUACCAAUUAUCUUCUUAUGAUCUCGAGUUUUACAUGUGGAGUCCUUUUACAUUUCUUGUUCAUUCGAGAAUAGCUUGGUGAAAUAUAUUGGACGUCCAGAUAAUUUGCUCGCAAAAUGAUUUUCAUGUUGAACUCUUACUAUUGGAGUUUUCAGAGGCCAUCCUUUCAAAAGACUCUGCUGGCUGCGUUAUUUCUUGGAUUGAAUUACCUUGCUCAGCUGUUUGGCUGUAAAAUAUGCUUUCCAUGGACAUGUAUAUAUUUUUUAUUAUUAUUUUGUUGAUGUUCAGGUGGUUUCAUGUGGAAGCCAUUCAAUGCUGCGCAGCAAAAUUGUUUGUUGAUAUUCUAGUAAUUUUACUUGAUCAUGAUUCUUUUUUACUUGAUUUUUCAGCUUGUAAAUCCAAACAACAAGGACAUUCAAGACAUUCCAGGAUUAGCCCCUCCUGCUCAGAGUCGCAGAUUACUUUGGUUUCCUAAUUAAGAAGCAAAGUUGCCAAAGGAUCACCUCAUGAGCUACUUGGGAUAAUUCAUACAAUAUGACGGAAACGGAGGAUGGAUCCAGCAUUGCACGAAAACCUUGGUGGAGUAACUGGUGUGUUUUUUCUGUAAAAGAAAUGAUCUCCAAUUGAGGGAAACCUAACAAAAAAAUAUAUUUAUUUUGAGUGUUUUGGUUCAUACUAUGUAUGCCCUUUUAUGUUUUUUUUUUUUUUUUUUCGAGCUUCAUAAUAUUUUCAUUGAUUCAUUUGAACUGACGAGUUUAAUCUUAAGUGGAAUUAUAAACUUCCGAAAAAUGCAGAAUUUUUGUUUGCUAAAAUCAGCGGGGAUGCUUUUCUUUUCCAAACAAUUCUUCUGAAAGAUUAUACACUUGGGAAACACAAGAAAUAAAUUUGGGAAGGCCUUGAAACAUGUCCAGGUGUGACUUCAAUUGAUUAUGAAAAAUAAAUAAUAGAACUCCAGAGGUUUGUCUCAAAUUAUAUUUUGUUAUCUGUUAUAAAAUUGACAGCAGUUUGUUCCGUUUUUAUAUUAUUUUUAAAUGAAUUGCAGCUUCGGUAUAUUAGUUGCUUUAGUAAUAAGUGUAAUAGUUAGUCAACUCUUAAAUAUUAAACAUUAAUUUUAAAAUUCAAAUUAGGCCUAAUUGCAUGAAAAAUUUUAAAAGUUGAUAAAAUUAUUUAAAAUCGCUAACUUUAUUGUAACUAUAUAAACAUAAAUUGAUGAGCGCGUGUCUUGUUGACAUAGUAUGACAAGUAUAAAACAUAGUCCUUAUAAUGAUUUUGCAUGACAUGGUAUAUUAUAUGACAAGUAUAAAAUAUAAAACGGGUGAUUAUAAUGGUUUUAACUUGCUUGUCAUAGACUAGUUGAUGCAAAUUUUUAAUUAAACAUGGUUUUAACUUGCUUGACAUAGUAUUCAACAUAAUGGUUCUAACUUGUAAUUAUAUUUACAUGCUAGGUAUAUAAAUGCUAUUGAUAAAAAAAUUUAAAAUUUUUAGGUAUUUUAUAAUUUAAUUCAAAAUUUUAAAAAUUGAUAUAAUUCGACUUAAAAUUUUUAAAUUUAUUUGUUUUUCUCUGUUUGGCUUGAUACAAAAAAUGAUAACCUUAAUUUUUUUCUAUUUAUCACUAGUUCUAAUAAAAAUUGCAACAUAUCGUAUAUUUAUUUAUUUUUUAUUUUUUAAAUAUAUUAUGUUUGUCCAUCAUAAUAAAUUUCACUUAUUUAUUAUAAAAAAUCAUGUUAAUAUAAUAAAAAAUAGAAGUUAUAGUUUUAAUAUUUACUGUUGUGUUAUUAAUAUUCUCUUAUAAUUUAAUAGUAUAAAUUAGCACUUAAAGGUAUAAACAGAGAUAUUAUAUUAAGAGUAGAUAUGAUUAAAAUCCAAAAGAAUUAAAGAGAAUCAUAAUUAAAAAAUAGAAAGAUAGAAUGAAAUAUAAUAAUAAGAUCCUAUAAAUUUAGCAAUAAAAAAUGAUAAAUUAGGAAUUUUGAGUUGAAUCACAUCAAUUUGUAUUAAUUGAUAUACUUAAAUUUAGAUAUACUUAUAAUAAAGUUUUUAAUUUUAGAUAAUUUUAUUAAUUUUUUGAAGUUUUGGAUGAAAGUAUAAAAUAGCAAAAAUUUUUAAUUUUUAAUUUUUAAUUUUUCAUGUAAAUAGCCCUUAAAAUUAUUGUUGAAUAUAACUUAUGUAUUAUCUACGCUCAAUAACAAUAUUUAUAAAUUAAUUUUCAUGUAUAACUUUUAAAAAGUUCCCAUACUAAUAAAUUAAUCAAUCUUAAAGUAAUAAGUCUUUCUAAACUUAAUGAAGCAUUUAGUCACUUAGUAACUAAAGUUCUCGAAGCAUUUCUAUCCAUUUAGUGUGUGCUUAGUUUUUAAAUUACGUUUUGUAGUAAUUGACAAUAAUGGUAACGAUAAAAGAGAUUCAUAUUAUUUUUAACUUGAAUAUUAUCUAUAGCAUGUAUUGAUUAAUUUAAUUAUUAACUAGAUUUAAAAAUUAAUAGAGUUGUAUUCUUUGGAUAUAAAUGGAAAAUCAGUGUCUCUAAUUGAAUUAUCAUAAUAUAAUUAUAGAUUUAUUAUUUGUCUCCUUUUAGUAGUGUAUUAUUUUUAUCAUAACAAACUAAAAAUAUAGUACUAUAGAUUAUGUUAGGUUCACUCACCGGUUCUAAUAUCAAUGUAAGACUAUUAAUUUCAAGUUAAAUAUCAGUAAAUUAAAUGAGAUUUAAUAUUUUUACUCUAUUAUAUAACAUUUAAUCACCUAAUAUAAAUAAAUUAUAAUUACUUAUAAGAUAGAAAAAAUAACUUAUGUUCACCCUUUUACAGAUUAUGAUGCGAACAUGGGAGAUAAGUACGUGAACAAUGGAAUGGGCGUAAAUAUUACAUUAUCUCUUAGACCAAUAACAAGAGCACGCACAAAGAAAAUUAAAGUAUCGCUUCAACACUUACCACAACAAAGAAAAUCAAAGUAUCGUUUCAACACUUACCACAACAAGUUGUUCGUGAAGGAAUGAAUGCAUGCGAUGAAAAGUCCAAGUUCGCAACAUAUGAAAAUCCACGAGAUAAAGUGUUCAUGAAUAUGAUUAAAGCAAAGGAGUAAUGGAGCUAGAAAAAGAAGCCACAUGGGCUAGUUGCAACACACUUAUGGCCAUAUAGCGUGUUGGGUCCUAAUUGUACUUAAGUCUAUUUUGUUAUUUUAUUAUUUUAAUAUUUUAGUAGACUUAUUUCAAGUUAAAUAGGCCCAACUUAGGUGGCUAAUUUCGUACAACCCAUAAGGAAAAAAAAGUUCUCUCAGUCCAACUAUGAAAAUAAUUUUUAUUGAAAUCUUUGUUGAGAAAGGUUUGAUUGUUUAACUAAGAAUCCUUCCUACAUUAAAAAUAAUCCUUUUACCACUAGGAUUACGGUUUUAGAAGGUUAUAAAAAUCCCUCUAAGUGGUAGUCAUGAAUUUCAAAUCUUAUUUUAUGAACAAUAUUAUUUUCUUUAGUUAAUAAAAUUUUAGAAAGAAUUUAGUUUAACUUUGUGUUGGAUUAAGAAUUGGCAUCUUAUCAAGGUUAGUAAUUUCAUGGCGAUUCUAUUUUUGUUUCCUUGUUUGAUUAUCUACGUUAUUGUUUAUUCAUUAUUCAAGGGUGUAAUAGAAUGCUUAGAAAUUAAUCUUGGCGUGUGACUUGAUAUUAUUGUGUAUUGGGGUUUUAGAUUGCAUUAUUAAUAUAAAGUUCCACAUCAAUCGGUAUCAGAGCAUAGGUCAUGGAUAAAUUCAAAUUUAUCUAUCCUUAUAGUUAUCUUGUUCAAUUUUAAUUACAUAGUUAUAGUUGUUGUUAAUUCUUUUUCUUAUUUUGGUAGCUUGUUAUCGUUUCGUUUUGCUAUGUUUGCUUCUCAAUUUUAUGUUAUUACAAGUUUUAGUAAAAAAAAGAAUUCAAAUCUGAAAAAUUCACAAAAAAUAAUUACUUCUUGAAAUUUGGUUUUGGAGGUUGAAAGCAAGAAAAAGAGCAAUUUUACAAUCUGUUUGAUAUAUACAUUGAUUGAAACUUUUGGUUUGAGGUUCUAGAAUUAUUAUACGCCUAAAGUUUUUAUUUUUGUAUGGUUUUUGCUAGUUUAGAGCUUUUGAACAUUGAAUAUUACUUUAAAUUCAGUUUCGGCUUCUAUUAGGGGAGUGCAAAAUUGGUUUUAUUUUCGUAUUAGCGUUUUCUUUUAAUCGUUGUCAUCUUUAUUUCAUUUUGUUUCCUGGCAUCCUAUAUACAUAGACGACAUAGUUGCUGCAUGUUAUUCAUUAAAUUGCAUGAUUAGCAUAUUUAUUGCCAUCUUGUGCUAAUAUUUUUAUUGUAUGUGUUUUUACCUCUAGAUUUUGCUUUUUCGUUCCUUUAUUGUUUAGGAUAUCGUUGUUUAAUUUCUCUAUUAUUAAUCUCGUAUUGUGUUGGUUCCAAGGUGCAACGCUCUUAAGUUGAACAUAGAGAGAUAAAAGGCUUGAGUGAUGAAUUUCUAAGAGAGUAAAAACCAACUUGUGAGCGAAACACGAGAGUGAAAUAACUUUUCAAGGGAAACACGUGAGGGAGCAUAUGAGGUCUAAUUUCUUUUUAUUUUCUUGUUUGUUUAAAAUUAAAUUAUAGGAUGGCAAGAAAAGAUAAAGACGUUGAGCAAAUUGAAAAUUUCUACAACAAAGUGGUCGCCAAUCAAUUUGAACACCUCUAUGUGGUGCUAAAUGAGUAUCACAACAACAUGGAAGGCAAGCGAGGCAAAUUGAAGAGUUGUGACAAGCUAGUGUCAACAACACUAGGAACACUGGUAAUAGAGGAAAUAGACAAAAAAGACCCUCUUUUGAAGUAGGUAAUUCAACUUCUGAACAUAAAGAGGACGCACAGUCCAUGAGAAGGAGGCAAAAGGAAGCAGGAGAGAAUUGAAAGGAAAUAUAGCAACAUCAAUUCCAUCAAGAUGAAGAUUCCUCAAUUCAAGGGACGAAAUGAUGCUGAAGCUUAUCUUAAAUGGGAAAGGGAGGUGGAGCUAAUUUUUAAAUGCCACAACUAUUCUGAAGAGAAAAAGGUAAAAUUAGCUGUUGUUAAAUUUACUGACUAUGCAUUGGUUUAGUGGGAUCAAUUACUUUUAGUUAGGCGUAGAAAUCAAGAAGGGCCAAUAGUAACUUGGGAAGAGAUGAAGCACGUCAUGCGAAAGUGGUUUUUUCCAUCCUAUUACUAUCGCGAGUUAUACCAAAAGUUAUAAAGGUUGACAUAAGGUUCCAUAUUUGUUGAAGAUUACCAUAAGGAGAUGGAAAUUGCAAUGAUGAGGGCUAAUGUGGAAGUGGACUGAGAAGCAACCAUGGUUAGAUUUUUAAAUGGGCUUAAUAAAAAGAUCACCAACAUCAUUGAAUUACACCAUUAUGUAAAACUUGAUGAUAUGAUGAGUGUGGCGAUGAAGAAGCAGCUGAAAGGGAAGGGUGGUGCCAAAACAUUUCAAAAUAACACUUGGACUUCAAAAUGGUCCAAGAAAGAGAAAAAUGGCAAGGAGAAAGUUUCUAAAAGCAAAGACAUAAUUUCAAUAGUAGGUCGCAAAGCACUACUUCCAAAGCUACAAUUAAAACACCAUCUUCUUCUAGCAAGCAUCACAACAUUAAGUGUUUCAAGUGCUUGGGAAUGGGAGACAUUGCAUCUCAAUGUCCCCAUAGCAAGACUAUACUUUUACUAGACAAUGGUAAAAUGAUCUUUGAGUCAGAAUCUGAUAGUGACAAUAUGUUUUCUAUAAAAGAUUAUUUUGAGGAAGAAAACAUUGAGUAUGCUGUGCAAGGUGAGUCACUUGUUGCUAGGCGUGCAUUGAACAUGCAAGUAAAAGAAGAAGGUUUAGAGCAAUGAGAAAAUAUCUUCCACAUGCUAUGCCUCAUAGGUGGGAAGGUAUGUGUAAUGAUUAUUGAUAAUGGGAGUUGUACUAAUGUUGCUAGAUUGCUUGGUGGAAAAACUAGGCUUAAAGUAUGAAAAGUAUCCCAAGCCAUAUGGACUAUAAUGGAUAAAGAAAGUAGGAAAGUUAAAAUCACAAAGCAAGUUAUUGUGUCUUUCUCCAUAGGUCGAUAUGUUGAUGAGGUAAAAUGCGACAUAGUUCCAAUUGAAGUUGGUCAUCUUUUCCUUAGGAGACCAUGGCAUUUUGAUCAAAAAGUGUCACAUAAUGGAUAUCGUAAUCGGUAUUCUUUCCUCUUAAAUGGGAAAAACUACACUUUUGCACCCUUAACUCCUACUGAAGUCUAUAAAGACCAACUCAAGAUGAUAAAAUCUCAAUAUGGGGCUUCGAGAUGUGAGGAGAAAAGAAAAGAGAGUAAAGAGGUCGUGAUCGAAAAGAAUAAACAAAAAGGCCCAAAAGUGAUUAAUUGUGCAAAAAAAGAAUUGAGCACAAAAGAGAGUACUCUGGGGAGUGAAAUUAAGGCGAGUUUCUUUGCAAAAGAAAGAGAGUUAAAAAGAGCUUAUGUUGGUCGUAAAUCAUUAGUGUUAAUUAGGCAUAAAGAAAAUUGUUUUCUAAUGUUGACAUUGAUCCAAAUUUGCCUAAUGUGUUUGUUUCACUUUUGCAUGAAUUCAAAGAUGUGUUCCCUGAAGAGAUGCCUGCAGGAUUGCAUUGAAAGGCAUUGAGUGUAAUACCCGGCUAGACUCCGACGUCAAAAUUUCAAUCUUCCGACGGAAUCUCCAUUGGAACCCGGAAUCUCGAAGCUGGAAUCUCCUUAGGAAGGGUAAAAUAAAGUUUUUAUAAAAUGAAUUUGAAAAUUUUAAGGUUUUAAGAAAGAAAGAAAAGAGUUUUGAAGAAAAUAUUUUUGAGGGGAAAAACCAGGUUCGGCCGCUGAACAUGGUGCUACCACGGGACCUCUUCUUUCAGCCCCCGAAGGUGGUUUUGUCCAGCCACCUAUAAGAUGCCCUAAGCCCGAAGAUGGGGGAGUUUUCUCCCCAUUUUCGGACAAAGGUGAGUCCUUGCCCUUCCUUUGGUGAUUUUGUUGUUUUUUCCUUCAAAUCCCUUAAAGAAAUUCAUGAGUUUUGCCGUGUUUUUGAAGAUUUGAGCUUGAAUCCAAGUUUUGAAACCUUGAAGACCUCCGGAGACCGUUUCACCUCAUCUCCACGUUGGGGUUGCUGUCACCUUUAGAUCUCCAAAAGGUAAGCCUAGAUCCUUGCUUUUCUUAUGUUUUAAAUAAGUUUUAAGAAGAGGCAAAGGGUUAAAAAUGUAUGAAAUGGUUAGAUCUAAAGUUCUAGGGUUAUGUUAGCUUUGAUGAUGAAUGUUUGCUCUUAUGUGUUUUUAUUGUUGCUUGUUGGGAAAUAGACUAGUUUCUAAGUCCCUUAUGCAUGUUUGAGGGCGUAUGCAUGUUUUGAGGAGUUGGGUGUGAGGAUUUGAGAGUUUUGGUGGCUGUAUGCAUAUGGCAGAAUCGGAUUCUGCCUUGUUGGAGAACUCAGGUUCGGCUGCCGAACCUGCUUGUGGAGGCAGCCUUUUGGCUGCCUAACCUACCCCCGAAAGCAUGACUUUCAGAUCUGUGAAGGGGUUUCGGCCGCCAAACCUGCCCUUGAAAGUCCCUAACUUUCGGAUCUGUGAGGGACCUUCGGCCGCCGAACUUGCCGUCGAAAGUCCCCUGCCCAGCCUUCCUUUACUUGAUUCCUAUGCAUGUUUUGGUAUGUUUUAGGGGGUUUUUGGAGAGUUGUUUAGAGUAUUAUAAUAGCUAUGUUUGGUCCCUCAUUAGAGUCCAUCUGUGUAGGAUCAGACCUGGGAGACCGUAGAGGCCAGCAGUGAGUCAGCUGCUACAGUGUUAGGCAAGCGUCAGCCAGAGGUGAGUAGAACUGAACUAUUUUUUCAAAGUAACUAAAAUUUUAAGCAUGUUCAUGCAUCACGAAUGCCAUGUUUAUGUAUUAGGAUGUUACAUUAGAAUUCACGAAUAUGAUGCAUUGUAUAAUUUACUGUUGAUGUGGAUGGAUAUUGGAUGACCCACUAGCCCUCGAGAUGUUAUGAUAUGAUAUGAUAUGAUAUGAUACGGAAAGAUACAAAAGGACCAGGGCUGCCCAUUCUAUGCCCCUGGCACGAUGUAAGAGAAAGACCAGGGCUGCCCAUUCUACACCUCUGGCAUGAUGGAUAUGCUAUGUUAUGUUUAAGCAAAAGUCCUGAGGAGCUCCGUCGAGGGCCGGGCACAUUGGAUUAUGUAGAGGUUUACUGGUGACAAGUCCAUCUUGAUGUGAAUUGUUUGUGUUGUGACGCAUUUCAUACGAGCAUUUGUUUAUUAAACUGUUUUUAUGUUAUGCUCACUAGGCUCUUGUAGCUUAUCCCUUUUCCCUAACCUCAGGUUUGUAGGGUUUGAAGAUAGCUCGGGAAGCCGGCGUAGUAGCUGGUAUAGUUUAAUGUAAUAGAAUAGUGGUGGACAUGUAUUGUUUAAUGGAUUAGAAUUGUGCUUCGCCCUAGUUUUUAUAUUUGUAAUCCCUGUUAACAUGAUCUUUAUGUAAAAGUUUUAAUUAUGAGUUAUGUUUAAAUCAAGCUUGAGGCAUGUGAUGUUAACCAUACUAGAGCAUUUGAUGAGGGCUCUAGUAUGAGUUUUAUGUUAUCAGUAUGAUGCAUAUACAGGUUGAGCUUGGUUUCAUGUAAAUGUUUAAGUUUUUGUUAUAAUGUUUGAUCAUGUAUGGGAUUCUAUCAGGUACAUAGGAUGUAUAGUAGGCUUGUUACGGGUUCCGACGACCUUAAGUCGAUCUAAAACACAAACUAAAAACUGUUCCAAUGGUCAAAAGACUAUGAACAGAGCUAGUAGCCACUUGGACAGGUGACCAACUGAGUAACUGGGGGUGGGUAUCACAAAUAUGUACCUCAAUGUCAAAAGGUUGAUGACUUUUUCAAGCAAGAAUAAAGUGCAAAAAGCUGAAUAAAGUGCUUCAAGUAAGGGCAAAUCACUCCGAGAGCUAGGAAAAGUCUUAACUAAACAAGAAUAUGUGCAUGUAUAAUCUCUCUCUUAAGGAAAACCAAUACUAGCUAUGGUAGUUAAGAUCUCUAUAGAGUUGAGGAUAUUCAAUGAUCAACUCAUCAAGGUUACCUACAAGAUCAUCAUCACAAACCAUCUCCUUUGUAGGAGCAAAAAGAUUAUAUUCAUAAAAAAUAUGCAUUGACUCAUCAACUAUCAAGGUUUUCUUAUUGAAUAUUCUAUAUGAUUUACUAGAUGUAUAAUAUCCUAAGAAGAUAACUUCAUUGGUUUUAUAGUCAAAUUUACUCAAAUUAUCCUUAUUGUUUAAGAUAAAAUAUUUACAACUAAAAACUCUAAAAUAACUAACUCUAGGCUUUCUUCCAUUCCAAAGCUCAUAAGGUAUUUUAUUUAAAAGAGGUCUAAUUAAAGCUCGAUUUGAAACAUAAUAAGUCAUAUCAAUAGCUUCUGUCCAAAAAUAGGUAAGUAGAUUAUAUCAUCUUUACAUAGCCCUCUUCAUAUAUAAAUGAGUCCUAUUUUUUCUUUUAACAAUAUUAUUAUUUUAGGGAGUCAUAUGAGAUGAAAAAUUAUGAAUGAUUCUCAACUUAUUACAAAAAAAACUUUAAACUUCUCAUUUUCAAAUUCUUUACCAUGAUCACUCCUUAUUGAAGAGAUUUGAGAAUUUUUUUUUCAUUUUGAACUUUCUUUGUAAAACUUUUAAAAGUAUCAAAACAAUCAUCCUUACGAGUAAGGAACACAACUCAAGUAUACCUAAAGUAGUAAUCUACUAUGACAAAAUCAAAAUGCAUGCCACCAAGACUAGCUAUUCUAGUUGGACCAAACAAAUCCACAUGCAAAGUUAUAGAAGUGUAGAAGUGGUUACAUUGUUAAUAGAUUUAAAAGAGCAUUUAACUUGCUUACCCAUUUGACAAGUAUCACACACUUUAUUCUUUUCAAAUUUGAUCUUUGAAAGGCUAUCAACUAGCUCAUCCUUACUCAAAUUCUUAAGAAGAUCCAUGCUAGCAUUAGAAAGCCUUCUAUGUGAAAUCCAAUAAUUAUCAAUAAUAGAAACAAAACACUUUAUAUCUUUGUUAGACAACUUGUAAAUCAAUAACAUAAAUAUUAUCAACUCUUUGACUAAUAAACAAAAUUUUGUUAUCUGACAUUAUAAAGACAAUGCAUGAUUUUGGUUAAAAGAUUACUCUAGAACCUUUAUCAUAUAAUUGACUUGCAAUUAAUAAAUUAUGCUUUAAACCAUCAACUAAAAGAACUUUAUCAAGAAUAGGAGAAUUUUCCUUAUCAAUCUUGCCUAUUCCCAUAAUUCUACCUUUACUAUUAUCUCUAAAGGUUAAUUAUCCACUACCAUCCUUCUUUUCAAGAGAGAUGAAGUGACUAGAAUUUUUGGUCAUGUGCCUUGAAUAUCCACUAUCCAAAUACCAUUUGAUUUCAAGAUUUGAGGAUUUCAAGCACACCUACAAAAAGAGAUUCCAAACAACUUUUGGCACCCAAAUGUACUUGGGUCCUUGGGGUUAGUCAUUUCAUUUUUCAAUUUCUAAAUACUUCCAUAUCCAAAAUAGACUUUUCUAAUAAUACACCUAUAGUUGGUGUGACCAAACUUGCUACAAUAGUGAGAAUGACCAUUGAACCUUCUUAUUCUAAGUCCAUAGGUGAAUGAGUGUGCUUGUGUUCUCAUAUAGUCAUUUCUCCUUUAUCCAUUAUGAGCAUAUGAGCAAGAGGUAUGGUUAAUGUGAUAAUUAUGUGAACUAGAAAUAUGUGCUCUAUAAUGAUCAUUUCUUUUAUACGUAAAUUGGUCAUGAGUAUGAGAAUAUUGUGUCUAGUGGAUUGGUGUACUUGCACAUUCUUUCUAGGUGCAUUACCACUAGGAGCUUUAGAUUCAUGUCCAUUAGAGCUAAACACCUUAGGUUCAUUCAAGUUAGUAGCUUUAACAAAAAAUAGUUUUGGAAGGAUUUACUUGAGCUGAUUUAUCAUAGCCAAGACCAUAUUUAAUGCUAGGAAACCUUUGAGAGUCUAAUAUUUCAUUAGGUUUGUCUUUAUCUUUUAAAAAUUUUGAAAGAAAAUUUUUCAAUUCAAUGAUUUCAUCUUUUAAAUUUUUAUUUUCUAGUGAGAACUCAUUUAAGGAUUUUUAUAAGUCAUCAUUUGAGGGUGGAGAUUCUUUAGGUGAGAUCCUUUUUUAAGUUAACUAAUUCAUUUUUCAAAACUUUGUUUUUCUUACAACUCUUUUCUAGUUCAUCAUUUAUCAUUUUUAAAGUAUUAACAAGUUUAUCAUAUGAAAAUUCAACAACAUCAUCACUUAUAGUAAUAUCAUCAAGUGUAAUUACCUCAUCAUAGGUUUCCUUUAAGACCAUGAAGCAAAUGUUGGCAACUUCAUCACCAACAUCCUCCUAUUGUAUAUCACUUGCACUGCAAAAAAAAAAAAAACAUUGAAAUAUCGACCAAAAUUUUGAUCACUAAUUGAGAGAAAUUGAUCGUUAUUUGAAAAUAACAACCAUUUAGCGAUCAAAAUAAAUGAUUGGUGUUUGGCCAGUCACUAAAUAAAUAGCAACCAACUUGUAUUUAGUCGCUAAUUUAGCGACCAAACGGUGACCAAAGCUUGGUCGCUAAUCAAGUGUCAAAUGAUUUCGCCAUUAGAAAUUGUUGUUGCUAAUAUAAUCGCAAUUUGAUCACUACAAGGUGGUUAGUAAUUGGUCACUAUUUGGUCACAAAUUGGUAGGUAAUUUAGUCGUUAUUUGGUCACUAUAUAAAAAGUAAACAACUCUAUUAAUAAGGUUGUGUAGUUAUUGAAUGGUCGCUAAUUAAAGUGAACAUUGAAUGGUCAUCAUUUGAAUCACUAAUUAGUAAUUAAAUCGAAGUAAAUAUUUUUUAUUUGGGUCGUCUUUUACAAUUUAGUCGCUGACUGUGGUAAUUGAUCGCUGAUUGGUCAUGAGAAUAUGUUUUGAAACUAAGUUAUCUCUUUUUUUCUGAAUAUAUUUAUAAAUCUAUUGUAAUAAUAAUAUGUACAUAUAUAUUUUAAUUCAUAAUUCUGCCAUCUAAAAUAUUAAAAAUACCAAUAUAGAAACACUAAAAAGCAUAAAUAUUUAAAAUAUAUAAUAAAUUCAAAUAAUAUCGAUAAAUUUAAGUAUUUAAAAAGUAUUAUAAAUAUAGUACAGUUUAAUAAUAAAUUUAUAAUAUAGAAUAUAUGAAGUUAGUUAAAAUGGGAUCUCAUUCUAUUCCAUAUGAAAUAAAAACAUGUCUAACUCAUAAACUCGACUUCAGAUAAUUUUUAUGAAAAACCAUAAAUUAAUAGUUAAUUAUGCACAGUUUUUUUUAUUUAUUCAAUUCCAUGAAUUAACUUAAUUAAAAUAAUAUAUUUCCUAUAUGUGAUGCAGAUCACUAACUUUAAUAAAAAUCAUCCAUCAGAUUUGUAAAGAAAUUACAAAUUAUUCUCAGCAGCUUUAGGGCUUCCAUGUUUCUUUGUGGUAGCUAAUAAAAUAAAAUACAGAAAAAAAAAAAUAUUGUUAUUCCAUUCAAACUUUCAAUUCAAUUUAAAAAAUUAAAAUGGAAAAUUUAAUUGCUAAAAACUAACUUUUAACUAUUUAAUGAAAUGAGAUUCAUACACCGUACAUAAAAAAGAAAAAUAACAAAAAAGUGAAAUAAACUAAAAUUUAAUUCCUAAUCACCAAACUUUAUUGCUGCCCCUAUAGAUGAACUCUCAAUAAUAGAUGGUAAAUAGCCCGUUGCGUCUUUGUAAUUCUGCUGAAUCUGGAUACUCAAACCACAAUUAUGUCAAUCAAGUCCCUAUACUAACAAGUGUAAAUGAAUUUUUUAAAUACCUAAUAGUAAUAAACUAAGAAAAGAAGAAUAAUCAAGUUCAUAAAGCUAUCUUGGAGAAGUAAAAAUUAAUGUUACUGCUUGAACUGGUAUUGAGAAAAUAUUAUCUAGAAAAUGUGUAUAAUAAACACUUCUAAAUUGCUAAAUUCUCCAUGCUCUUGGUUAAAAGAGAGCAUAUUUCUCUCAAACCAGAAAUAUAACAAAAUUGAUUAAUAAAAAUUGGCAAUGAAAUGAGAUAAAUUCAAUAAAUACUUGAUUUGAAACGAAAGAUACUUAUUUUGAAGGACCCCUCCAAGACAAAAUAUGAGUAUAAGAAUUUUUUUUCUUAAUCAAAGUAAUUUCAAAGUAGAGUAUAAUCUCAUAAGGUCAGCCUAUUUGUCGCUCCAGAAUUUAUCAACGGCGGUGCGUGCAUAUAAAUACAUGUGCAGGAUUUGAAAUCUGCAAAUUACAGUUUAUAUUGUGUCUAAUCAUAGUAAUUAUUAAUUAAUGAAUUUAGUCAUAAAAUAAAAGAUAAACAUGGAUAAAGUUAACUUCCAAUAAGGCCAAAACUAAACAACAAAAUAGAUUGAUUUCAUUAGGCAGACAGUUUAAAGUACCAUUCCUUCUAUCAUUUGCACAGAGUGUCCACCACAUAAAUAGUGUUCAUGUCUAGAGAACAUGAAUGCCUUAGAGAAUAGUGAACAGUCAAACCUUAAAAAGAAAAGAAAAAUAAAUUUACUUCUGUACAUACAUGGCAGCUAGGAAAAUGGGAAAGAUUGACAAUUAACAAUGGAAGUCCUUCAAUCUUAGGUGGAAGUCUAUUUUCAUUCCAUUUUUUAUCUUUCUUUUUCAAUCUUCCUCUUAAAAAGCUUACUCUUCUUCAUUAGUUCAUCCAAAGAUCUAGUCAAGGCUUCUCAAACAAUGAUUCUUCAAUCAAUUCCCCCAUCUGUAGAUGUAAUACCUUCUAUGAUUAUUUGUUACUUUUUGGUCCACUUUAUCUUUUUUAUAUAUAUAUAUAUAUACUUUUACUAGUAGAUGAGCCAUUACUGAUACAUACAAGGGUUUGUAUUUACAAUGUAGGAUUAAAAUUGUUAAAAAUAAAGCUUAUAAGUCCCUUUAGAUGUAUUCAUUACAUUUCCCUCCCAUUCUGUAAGCAAUUCUCGCUAGAAAGGAAUGGUGUUGAUAAGCAAUAGUUAGAGGUGCAUAUAUAUAUUUCACUAUAUGUCAUGUCCUGAUUACUAGCUAUCAAUUAUUUGCAGCAAUAGUCAUUACUACGAACAACAAUAGUCAUUACUACAUAAAAUUUAUUUAUGAAUUGACUAUUCCCUGUUGACUAUUAGCCAAUAGCCAUCAAUUACUAGCUAUCAAUUAUUUGCAGCAAGUCAUUACUACGGACAACAAACUAAAUGAGGCCUAAAUAAAAAGUUUGGUCCAAGGACAUAUGUAUCAACAUAAACAUUAUGAUUUUCUUAGUUAUCAUACAUCUGGAACUAUAUAAAUUUAUUGAUUCUUAAUAACUGACAUGUAUUAGGCCCUAAUAGUCUAAUAUUCAGUAAAGCAGUAUCAAUCUAGAUGCCAUUGAAACAUAGAUUAUUGGAGCUGAUUUGCAAAGGUAGUGAAAUUCUUCCAAUGGGAAAGCAAGAGAAUAACAAUUUGCCGAAAGGAUUUCGGCACUUACAAAUGAAGGAAGAACUUUAAAAGCAAGAAUUACCAGCAUACUUGGAGCACUCGAAAUUUUUCAAGAAAUAAAUUUUUUAUUUAAAGAAGUAGAGCCUAAGCUCAAAACAAGCAUAAUAAUUUAACAAUAUUAAAUAGUCAGAAAACCCAGCAUUAAAAAAACAGAUGACUCCUAAAUGGAGUCUCAAACCAGGUGUAAACGUCAUUGGGUUCUCCUUCUGUAUCUCCUAUUUAAUUUUUCUAGAGCUCGACCAGAAUUAAAUACAAAGAGAAUCAUGAGCAAUACUGGAACCUAAACUUGAGAUAAAUACAGAAAAAUCUAAGGACAUAUAUAGAGAAAUCAUAUGUUUCUAGCAUACACAUAAAAAUGAAAAAAAUAAAGAAAAUAAAAGAAACCAAAACGACAACAUACCUACUACGACAAUGAAAAUCAAGAGAAGAAGAGCAAGAAUUGAGAGAAAAGAGGAUAUGGAGAGAACCAGCAGCAAUGAAUUUGUUGAGAAUAAUGACACAACACAACGAGAACCAGCAAUGAACCAGCAGAGACUGACAACACAUCUUGAUGGUAGCGAACUAGCAACGAUGUACUUGCUUUUUCUCAGGCGAAGGCGAUAGAAAAUCAAAACAACGGGAGAAAGGAAGGCUAGAGAUGGAGUAUGAAAGAAAAGAAUGAGAGAGGACUUAGCUUAGGUUAGGGUAUCCCUUAAAUUAUCAAAAUGAUGUCAUUUUAUAGGUCGGUUCAAUUUGAUUCAAUUUGACACUAAAAUUCAACUGAAAUAAAAUCACUUAAUUUAAAUUUUUAAAUAAAAUAAAAUUUAAUUAAAAGUUAAAUUAAAAAUCUAAAAAUAAAAUAUUAGUCGCAAGUGAUUGGUCGCAAGUGAUUGAUCACUAAUAUCAAUGUAAUUUUGUAAAAGUGGUCGCUAAUUAUGAUGGCAUCCUCCCAUCACAAAUACAUAAUAAAAUCAUCACUAAUUUAGUUAUAGACAUUUCGCGACAUUUAUUCCCACCAAAUUAUGAGUACUAUUUAUUUAAUCACUAUUUAGCGACCAACCAACGACGAAAUUUUAGUCGCUAAUAGUUUUGUUAAAUAAAACUACCCUCUUACUCAGAACAUAAUAAAAUAGUCAUUGGUUAGUCGCUAAUAGCAACUAGACUAAUUGGUCGUUUAUUUCACUGUUUUUUAUAGUAUUGACUCAUCUCACAUUACUUUGAAUGCCUUCUUGAACUUUUUGAUAGUUUCUUCAACUUGGGACAAUUUAUUUUGUAGUGAUCUAGUUUAUUGUACUAAUAGCAUAUAACCACUUCAUUCUUGAUUGAUUUACCUUGUAUCUUGCUCGAGUGUUUAGCAUCCUUUAAGGAGAUCACCUUAGGCAGCUAUUCCUUAGUUAAACAUCUAAGAAUUUUCUUCACUAAUUUCUCAUUUGUGAAUGUUUUCCCAAGAGAUUUUAUCCCUCCAAUAAUCUCAAUGAACCUAUUAUAUAUUUGACUAAUAGUUUCAUUGGAUUUUAUUUUGAACAUCUCAUAUUAGUAGAUAAGGGAUUCCAUCUUGUUUUCUUUAACUUGGUUGGUACUUUCAUGAGUGACAACUAAAGUAUCGCAAAUCUCCUUGGCAGUUGACUUCAUGCAUAUUUUAUUGUACUCACUUGUACUAAUAGCACAAAAUAAAAUGUGAAUGACUUUGUCACUAAGAGCUACUUUUCUCUUCUCUUAUUUACUCCAUUCACUCUUAGGUUUUUGCUCUUGUUUUCUCUCUAUCAUUUUUGUUGGAAAGAAAGGAUCAUUCUCCAUAAUAUUCCACAAAUUAACUCUUUUCGAUUUGAGAAAAUAAUAUAUUCUAUUUUUCCAAUAUAGAAAGUCAUUCCCAUCAAAAAAUGGUAGUCUCACAACCGAUUGGCCUUCUUUAGUAUGGAGGGUUGCCAUUAAUCUUUACUCCAAGAUUAUUAAAUCUUCUAGAAGAGGAUAUUAGCUCUGAUACCAUUUGGUAUCCCUUGAAGCAACCAAGAAAAAGGGUAAAUUGGAUUUAUAAAAAUUUCAAAGGCUAAUGACACAAAUUAAGAGAGUAGUAAAAAAAAGGAAGAGUGACAGUGAACACAAGGAUUUAUAGAGGUUCAGCUAUUUCAAGCCUACGUCCUCUCCUUAAAACCCUUCUUGAGAGUUCAACUCCACUAUCAAAUUUUCUUUGAGUGAAAAUUAAAACCCCUUACAAUUCUAGACUAAAACCCUUACUCUUUAUAAUUUCUUUUUUUUUUACAAGAGUAAACAUAUGCUCAAUACCACACUCAAUAUAAUAAAUUCACUUAACAAUCUUCACUCAAUCUCAAAACAUAAACUACUUAUAACUCAAAACUAGAUUUUAAGAAAUUAAAGUUAUGGCUUAAAGUUUUAGAGAGAGAAAGAGUAUAGAAAACUUGAAUCUCAAUAAAUGAGUACUUAAAUAGUUAUUGUAAUUUUUUUCAAUGAAAAAUAUAUUAUAUUUAUAGUUGUAACAUAAAUAUAACUGUUGAAAAUUCAUUAAAUGUAAAUAGAGUCGUUUAUAUAUUGAAAUAGUCGUUAUUUUUUGCUCAGAAAAAUUCAGGUUCGGCGGCUAAAAGUUAAAGUUCAGGGGUCAAAAUCUUUGGAAGUGAAAACAAAACCCUUUGAAAAAGACUUUUAGCAGCCUAAAAUCCUUACUUUUUCGGCGGCUAAAAAUUUCAACUUUUGCCUUUAUUUCUCUUUUACUUUGCCGCUAAAGUCCACUUUAUGGAGGCACAAAAUUCAUUCAUUAAAUCUUUGAAAAAAAUAUAACUAGGACUAUAAAAUUCUGAUUUUUCAAUCUAUUUGAAUUCUUAUAAUAUUUUAAGAUCUUUUAAUUUGUUGAAAAAUAAUUUCAAAACCACUUCAUUUGUAAAAUUUUAUUUUGGUCUCUCAAAAAGUUAUGGAGCGAAAAGUUAAGUUAUAAACUCUCAAUUUUAAUUUUGUUUAAAUUGUCAUAACUUAUAAUUUGAAAUCUCUUAUUUGAUAGAAAAGUAUCUUAAAAAAAAUUCAUAUGUUAAAUUUCAUUUAGGUUCCAAAAAUAAAUUCUUAAAAAAUUGACCGUAUUUAUACUAUUUAGAAUUUAAAAUAUAAACUUGAACCAACACAGUUGAUUAAUUGAAAUUUACAAUGCAUAAACUAAAAAUUAUAUUUUUGUCUAUUUUCUUAUAACAUGCUUCCAAUUUUAGCACUUUUCAUCCUUUAAAUUGAAGCAAUUCUAUUUAUUUAAAUUAAAGGCCUACAAACUCACAUAAACAUUUCUAAAAUUAAUUAAUAGCAUACCAAUUAACAUUAAGACAAGGAUUAGAAUACCUGGAUCUAACAUUCCCUUUCUUCAAUUUCUCUCUUCCAAAAUCAUCAUAACUUGAGUUCUAAAUAUCUAAAUGAGUUGAUCUUUAUGUCUUUAGAAAAUUACGACACAGAGAAACAACUUUAAUGAAGAAAGUAUGAGCUAAAUGUGUCUGAAACCUUGCUAGAUCUUGCCUAACAGAAUUGGUAAAAAAUUUUGCCUAUAGGAGAAAGUGCAAAAUUGACUUAUUGAACAUAUUUAGUUGCUAUGAUUUUGUGCAUAUCCUAUCUUUAUAUGCAGUAUGAACCAUAUUCUUAUUGUUUAAAGCUACAAAUAUAUUAUUUAUAAUGCUAAACUUUCAACAAAAGUCUAAUAUUGAUUAUAUUAUGUGUUUGUAAUGAUUGGUAUAUGACUAUUAUUGGUUGUCAUUUCAAAUACAUAUACAAGUGGCAAAAUAGAUUUUUAAUAUGAAAAUUUGUAGAAAAAAUAAAUUGAUAUGCAAUUAUGGAUGGAAAUGCAAAGUAUUGAACAUGUAAUUGUGGUCAUUUAAGCUAAUGUUAUAAAUAAAUGUUAUCGAUCUUAGUGAGUUUGAUAGAAAUCAAGAGUUAGUAUAAGGAUAUAGUAUACCAUAUAUGUUAAUAGUAUUGUACUAUAAUUUAUAUGAUUAUAGGGUCACAUUGAAGUGCCCUCCAGUAUGACAAUGAUGCUUAUCACUACAGUUACAGAGAUUGACCUUCAGGCUCUAUAGUUUGCACUUUCUACAUGAAGAUCCAA
Molecule: long non-coding RNA, 77547 nt
Filed under: Manihot esculenta (cassava)
Lineage: Eukaryota; Viridiplantae; Streptophyta; Magnoliopsida; Malpighiales; Euphorbiaceae
Description: long non-coding RNA (MESC_LNC010227)
Source: RNAcentral